GUACUAAUAUUUUUAGAAUGGUACAAGAGUUUUUCAGAGGUAAUUCUCUUCCUAGAUUCAUUACUCACACUAAUUUGGUACUGUUACCUAAGAAGGAACAAAUUCAGUCCUUCUCUGAUUUAAGACCAAUUAGUUUGAGUAAUUUCACUAAUAAGAUUAUGUCCAGGGUUGUUCAUGACAGACUGGAAGCUUAUUUACCCAAAUUGAUUUCCUACAAUCAAUCAGGUUUUGUUAAAGGUAGAAGCAUCAUUGAAAAUGUGCUUUUGACACAAGAGAUUGUCUCUAACAUCAGAAAGAGAGGUAAACCAGCAAAUGUGAUCCUAAAGCUUGAUAUGACCAAGGCUUAUGAUAGAGUAUCUUGGUUCUUUUUUAUGCAAGUUUUAAGGAAAAUGGGCUUUUCAGAAUUGUUUGUUGAUUUGAUUUGGAGAUUGAUCUCCAACAAUUGGUAUUCAGUCUUGAUCAAUGGCCAAGCACAUGAUAUUUUCAUUCCAGUAAGGGAGUGAAACAAGGAGACCCUUUAUCUCCUGCUCUCUAUCUUAUCGGCAGAAGUGCUUUCCAGGGGCCUAAAUGUUUUGUUUGAUGAUGAUCAAGUUAUAGGGUAUGGUUUACCAAAGUGGAGUGCUAAGCUUAAUCAUUUGGCUUACGCAGAUGACACUAUUAUAUUUGCUUCAACUAACAGUUACUCUUUGAAGAGAAUAGUGUCAAUUUUGCAGGAGUAUGAAGUUCAGUUAGGUCAGAAAGUCAACAAGGAGAAAAGUGCUUUCUAUUUACAUCAAAGUGCAAGUUUUACUGAGAAACAAUUGGUGGAAGAAUGCACAUGUAUUACUAAAAGUCAAUCUCCUUUGAAAUAUCUAGGUUGCCCUAUCACCCACUCCAGGAAAAGGAAGGAACAUUAUGAAGAGCUUAUUAAGAAAGUGAAGGCAAAACUUCAAUCUUGGAAAGGGAAUAUGUUGUCAUAUGGAAGAAAAGAGGUUCUUAUCAUGAGUGUGCUACAGAGUGUUCCAAUUCAUGUAUUAUAAGCUAUAGUUCCUCCUAUAUGCGUGCUUAAGGAACUUCAUAAGAUUUUUGCUAAAUAUUUUUGGAGUAACAAAACUACAGGCAAGAGUAAACACUAGGCUGCAUGGGUUGAUGUUUGUUUACCUAAACAAGAAGGAGGUUUGGGUUUUAGAUCCAUAUUUGAUGUUUCUAAAGCAAUGUAUGCUAAAUUAUGGUGGAGAUUCAGGAUUCAGAAUACCUUAUGGGCUAAUUUUAUGUGGAACAAAUAUUUUAAGAAGCAUAUUCCAGCUCUGGUUCAAUGGAAAGGUGGAUCUCAAUUAUGAAAGAAUAUGUUACAAAAUAGGGAUGUCAUUGAAAAAUUUAUAUGGUGGGAGCCUAAGGGUGGAACUUCUACUGUUUGGUAUGAUAAUUGGACCCAACUAGGUCCUCUUUACACAUAUCAAACUGAAGUACAAACUUGUCACUCUUUGAUGGACAUUGAGAUUUUCAUGAAGGAAGUAGGGUGGGAUUAUGAUAGUAUGUAUGAUCAUCUGCCUUAUCAUGUUGUGGAACAUAUUAGGCAGCAUAUGGAUCAUAUUAGACAGACUGAUAUGGGAGACAAACCGUGGUGGAUCAAGACAAGCAUUGAAAAGUUCUCAGUUAAGAGUGCAUGGGAGAUUUUGAGGGGAAAAAAGGAAGUAAAUGAAAAUUGUAAGAUGAUAUGGGUGCAAGAUCUUCCUUUUAAGAUAUCUUUCUUUAGUUGGAGGAUUUGGACUAAUAGAGCUCCAGCAGCUGCUGUUAUAGCUAAUUGGAAUCCUAAUCAGUCUCAACUUUGUUUAUGUUGUACUGUUCCAGUAAGAGAAACUAUGGAACACUUAUUUUUGAAAGGUGAAAUUGCCAACAAAGUGUGGCAAUAUUUCUCAUCUGCAGCUGGAAUAUUAGGGCCUUGGAUUUAGUUGAAGCAAUCUAUUAAAAGAUGGUGGGAUGUUCAAGGAAAUACUAGGCAAAAGGUGAUGUUUCAAGCUAUUCCUAAUAUAAUCUUAUGGUUCUUAUGGAAAAGGAGAAAUAUUGUGCUUCAUGGUGGUAAUUACACCACAAGUAAAGUGAUUUGGGACAUCAAUAGUACUGUUCAGAAAUUUAUGAAGUUAAAGUUUCAAUAUACUAAUGUCCCCUCCACUUGGCCACAGAUGGUUGCUCUAUUGGAUGCUUUCAGACCUAGGUUUGUCUAUAAAUGGGUUAAAUGGCAUCCUCCACCAUCUGGGUGGUUGAAAUGUAAUACAGAUGGGGCUUAUAGAGGUAAUCCUAGGCCUAGUGUUGUUGCCUUUUGUAUCAUAAAUCACGAAGGAGAGCUGGUGAUUGCUAAGGGGGUGAGGAUCCCUGAUUCUACUAAUCUAGUGGCUGAAGCUAUUACUAUUAGAGAAAGUCUUCAAUGUUGUUUGGAAAACAACUUUCCAAACAUUAUAAUUGAAACUGACUAGUUGGCUUUGGUACAUAUGCUGAAGGGAGAGUGGGAAAUACCUUGGAAUGUGACAAUGGAGGUCAAUUCCAUCAAUAGAUUGAGGAAUUCCAUGUCAGUAAGAGUACAACACUCCUUAAGGGAGGGAAAUACUCUUGCUGAUUUUUUUGCUAACUUGGUUUUUCUUUUUGCAGGUACAUAUGAAUUAAGAUCUCUCCAAGAGGUUCCGGAUACAGCCAAGAGAAUUAUCAUCUUAGAUAAACAAAGCACACCACAAUUGAGGAUAAGGCAGUCAAACACUACAAGAGUAUAAAUGGUUUGAUUAGAAUAUACUUUACAUAUGAUACUGAUAAAGCUAUAUUAGAUGAUAAAAGCUACUACACAUUAUAUGAUGUCUGAAUGAAUUUCAGUUGGUUGACAUACCAUGCACCUGGUGAGAGUUUAGGGUGUUUCAUAUGGUAUAAAAUCAAGACUCAUAGAUUGUAGCAGUCAAUUAACAUCUAUAGUAGGUUUAUUAUUUCACAAUACACAUAGCAGAAUAACUUCGAAAUUGGUUAUUUCGAACAAUCAGUCCAAAAGAGAAGAGAAUAAUUGGUUGGGUUCAAUUGUGUACCUGACAAUUUUUUCAAGUCCAGAAUACUUUGCACAACCUGUACAAUAGUGUAAAUCCCAAAAAUCCAUACACAACCUCGAAGAAAAAAAAAAGUCAGAAAUUAGUAAUUCUUUUACGAUUUAAGGUUCGGUGGUGGUAUUAAUCCUGUUUUUGGGUUCAACCCACUGAAGGUUAGAUCAAAGAAGAUGAACUAAUUUCAACUAACCUGAGGUUAAAUGGAUGGAUUACCCUCUUUCCACAUAAUCUACACGAGCUUGGAUCCACAUGAAAUCUACGAGGAGAAAACUGAGCAAAAAGAUUGAAAUCAUUUGGCAUGGAUAGAUUGAGAUGAAUCUGAAUAGAAGUGAGUAGGCAAAAUACCAAAGGGUUUCAAGGGUAUACAAUUACGCCGAAUUGAAGUAGAGUUUCAGCUCCGAUUUGAUUAUGUAUCGAGGAAGAGGCGCUGCACCUGCAAGUACUCUUCAACUUCCACUUUCCUAAUUUUUUUUUUUGAUAUUUCUUAGUUGGUAGGAGUUGUCUUUUAUUGUUUUGUUUAUUUAUUUGGUGGGUUGUUCACUUAGGCAACCCAUAUGUUUUGUAUAUAUUUUCUCUUAGUUUAAUAAAUUCUUGACCCAUGUGGUCUUUGAUUUAAAAAAAAAAAAAAAAUCUCAAACCAAAGAAAGAGUUUUAUUUUUAAAGAUAUAAGUGGUUAAAACACACCUAAACUAUACCUUUUUUUUGAGUUUCAUACCCAAACUAUUGAAAGUGUGAGAAACACACCUAAACUAUUACACUUUAGUUUGAAAAACACACCUUUGUGCUGACUGGACCACAUGUGUGUGUACACACUCUUUUGCGCGCGUGUGGCCUUGAUUUUCGUCCACAUGGCUUCUCUUUUUCAAAAAAUAAAUAUCAAAAACACACCUAAAACUAUAAAAUUGUUUGACUACUUUCCCACCUAAACUAUUAGGAGAGUGAGAAACACACCUAAACUAUCAUUCAUAAAUUUGAGAAACACACCUUAAAAUUAUAUGUUACACUAGUUGCUUAAGCUCGCUCAAAAGGGACUGAUAUUUGUAUAUCAAUGAUGCCAUACAAGGAAUCCACGACGCCCUUUGGUAGCUUUAAUAAUUUGAGGGGUGAGUAAUUGUCCAUGACAUCAGAUUCUAUUUUUUUUUGUUUGUUUAAUAACUAGUUAGACUAUAUUUGUGGUAUCAUUAUGCCACCAAAUAGAGAAUAUUUUCUUUCUAUUGAAUUAUCGCUUUUUACAGACUACUUCAUCAAUCAUUUUCUGAUUACGAUUAUUUAAACAACUAUGAGCAGCUAAGGACAGAAGUCACCAAAGCAUUUUUAGUAGCUCGAAGUAAAAAAUUGAUCGGCUCUAGUUUGUAUAGUAUAGAAACACUGAAACCAAGUAAUGCUUCAAUUUGCCGACCAACCUGCCGACCAACCUACAACGAUAUUAAAUUACUUGGGCUGCAAAUCAGUAUACCAUCCUAUUCACAACCAAAAUACACGACUUAAGAACAGUUCGAACCACAUGAAAAAUCAGUCACCAUGUUUAGUAGCUUACAAUAACUACUUGGGCUGCAAAUCAAUCACCGUAUGUAGUAACAUCAAAGUUCACAACUAAAAUUCGAUAUCGUCCUAUUCACAACCAAAAUAUGCGACUUAAAAAUAGUUCGAGCCACAUGAAAAAUCAGUCACAUCAUCCCUAAACACCUUCAGUUCUUGCUGCACCUUAUGAUGACGUUUGUGACUUGAUGUUCUUCUGUCUAAGCAAAGCACUUUUAUGUUGAAGUUGUCUUCCUGUGAUAACACUUUUCCCCUUCCAUUUAAGACCUUUACUUGGUGCAUACCCAAGGUCACCGGUGACAAUAGCUGAACUUAUCAGUUUCUUUUGUGCUUCACUCUUGAUUACCCUACUAAUAGAUCUUCCUUGCUGUAAAGUAUAAAGAGUCGUUAAAUUAUUUUUAAGAAGUUUAAUCAAGAAUAUAAGCUUAUUAACUCUCAUUUUUUACCUCGGCAACAAAUAAACCAUCUUUGCUCACAAAUACUCCAUGACCCACUACUCUUGGCCUCUUAAAUGCACUAUUUGCACCUUUUUCUAUUACCACUGUCACUUUGCACUAUUGCUUGAGAUGGUUCAGAAGAUUGAGAUUGUUGUACUUCUUGAGUGGGGUGAGAUUUUUUCUUGCCACUUCUUUUACUACUGGCAGAUGCUUGUGAUGUAGUAAUACCCUAUGCAAAGAAUAAUUUUGAAAGUGUUAACAGUAUUAAUACACUAUAAAUAAACGUUAAUAGAAAUCAAAUGUACCUCUGAAGUGGCUGGAGGUUUGUUUGGACAUUUUCUUAUAAUGUGACCUUUUGACUUACAAGCGGAGCAACUCACGGUUUUCCCCCUCUUUGGAAGCUUUCUAGAACUUGGUACCUCUCCAAGUUCCUUCUUUCUUUUUAUACCAGGCCUUCCUGGAAUUUUCCUAACAAGAGGUGGCUCAACUUUUGAAUUCGAUGUCUCGGGCCACAUCUUCAUGUUUGUUACUGGUUGUAAAAAAUGUUUAUAAGCUUUUAGCUAGGUUUCUUUUUUGUACCACUUACAAACUGAGUCAAGGAGAUUAGCUUCAUCGUGAUGUAUAGAUGCUAUUGCAUGUGCACAAGGAAUCCCUUUCAAUCCCCAACUUCUACAAGUGCAAGUUCCUUGAAUUAGGUUAACCAUAUGUAUAUAUGGACUAUCUUUCACUUCAUACCCAAUGUCACCAUUCCAACUAGUUUCCACCCUCAUUGACUUCUUCACAUUUGUAUUUAGCACCAACAUUGCCAUUGGAGAUAUGUCAUGAGUCCAACUAUUUACAAAUGUUAUCACUUUAGUGAAUCUAUUCAUUACCUUUUUCCUUAUUUCUUCAAGCAUACUGAUGAUAGUCUUGUCCCUAGCACCCAACCCCCAAGCAUUAAAACUUUCAGCCAUAUUGUUAUCCACACUGUCACAUUUUGAGGAUGUCCUAAACUGUGCUUUGGACCAUCUAUUAGGAUUGAAGUUUACCAUGUCAUUAGAAAUAUCUUUGCCUAAUUGUGCUAAUUUAUCCAAGUUCUUCCUGAGUUCAGCUUCAAAUGUUGAUCUAGCACAAGCCCAAAACCUCUUUCUUUCCUCAACACCUUCCAGUUUUUUUACCAAUUUGCAAGUAUAUGUCUUGCACACAUUCUUUGUUCACAUUCUAGAAGCAACUCCUGAACAACUAAAUAUAAUCCCUGAAAAACUUAUGUGGUUAAAAUCACUCAAAACAAUAACUAAAAAAUAUGUUGCUUGGACUCUUCAAAAAUGUCAAUGAGGGCAAGUUGAAUUAGCCAAAAGUAGUGUAUUUUUUGUUAAUCCAAUACAAGUGUGGCAUCAAAAGUGAAGAAUACGCACAACUAAGACUAAAAUCACUAUACAACUAAAGCUAAAAGGGAUGAAAAUAGUAGCAAAAAAAAAAACAGUAGCUAAACAAGUUGAAUAACAAAGUACCGCUAGAGUUUCUAAUUUUGUGGACAAGAUAGAAUGUUGUUAUGGACUAUCAAAAGGUCCUUACAAAAUGCUGAAAUCAAUAGUUUAAAACUACUUAUAACACAUCAGCUAAAAAAUUAUGAAAUCAAUAGUUAAAAUUGGAUUAUAAGAGAUGAAACAGAGGUUAAAAAAGAGCUUAAAUUAGUAGUUAAAUUACUUAAAACACAUUAACUAAAACUUGUAAAAUCAGUAGCUAAAUAAGCUGAAAAUAGCAGCUAAUAUUGGCUAAAAUAGCUGAAACCAGAGGCUAAAAAUCAUACCUUUUGCAUAUCACUUAUGAUAGUCAAUCCUUCUCCUUCAUCAUUAAUGUCCAAAUCAGAUUUCAAGAUUCUCAAAAACCAAGUCCAAGUUUCUCUACUUUCAGUUCCAACAGCAGCCCAUGCUAUUGGGAACAUCUGAUUAUUCCCAUCAUUUGCAAUAGCAACAAGUAGCUGGCCUUUAGAUAUUCCCUUCAAAAAGCAACCAUCUAACCCAAUGCACUUUCUACAACCCUCAAUGAAUCCUUUUUUCAAAGCUGAAAAACAAAUAUAAAAGGAAUGAAAUAAUUUUUUUCCAUCAUCACAAUUUGUCACUUUCACCACACAAGUGCUUCCUGGAUUUGAUUCAAGAAGCAUAUCUCUGUAGUCAUAGUACUAAACUCAGCAACAUGAUCACCUAUUAUCUUUUUCAACACCAUUUUUCUGGCCUUCAAACACACGAACUUACCAACAUACAAUCCCAUGUCUGUCCUGACCAAAUCUUGUAUUUCCCAUCCCUUUAUGCAAGGUUGAGAAACAAUUCUACUUUUAUAGUACUUAGCCAAAAACUUAGAGUUGCACAUUGUGUUGGUAUUGGUCCUAUAACACUUAUUCUCUAGGAUUGUAGGUUUUUAUAAUGAAAUCAGAAGAUUUGAAAUCUUUGCUUGCAUAGAGUAUCCAAGGACAACCAUUAGCUUUGCAUUUUACUCUGACCCUUCUUUGAUCAUUGUGGAUCUUAUCCAGUUGACAACCUCUCUCAAUUGCAUACUUGCUAAAAGCUUCUAUGAAUUUUUUUACAUUUUCAAAUACCAUAUUAAGUUGCCACACAACUUUUUUCCAUGUUGGAUCAUAUGAGACCCUUUUGUCCUUCUUUCUUGCCCUUAAAAUAUCAGAUCUUUCAACAUUUAUUUCCCCCUCACUUUCACUUUCAAAACUAUCGACAUCAGAACUGUCGUAAAAAGGCUCAUCACCUACUAGCUUACCAGUUAAAUUUUUCUUGGGUUUAUCAAUGUCUUCAAAACCAGGAUCUAUGCCAACUUCUCCCAAAAAACACUAAGCAAUUUUUUUUUACUUGGCUCUUAUUUUUUCUUCAAAUAUGCUUCCAAAUCCUUCUUAACUAUGCUCAGCUCUUCAUGAAUAUCACUCCCAUAUCCAUCCUCGUCACUAGAAAAGUCAACAUUCUCAUCAGUUUUAGCAUCACUAUGCACAAUAGUUUCUACUUCAUCUUCCUCCGAAUCUUCAUCUUCACUAGAAAACUUAUAUUCAUAUUCAACUUCAUUUGUGUUUCUGCUGCCAUUUUUCUAUCAGAUUUUGAUUGUUGGACCCCCGACAAUUUGAUAUCUACCAUCAAUAAAUGUUAUUUCUUUCCCUAAAGGUGCAUUGAGACCUUCACCAGCUUUGUUGGUAGACUCUUUAUUAGGUCUAUCAACUUCAUUGCAUUUGGUCUCAAAAGACUCAUUGGUCACAUGUGUUGUUUUGAUAAAAUCUUCCCCUUAUGGCAGAUAUAAAUGUCCAUAGUACCCCCAGCAACCAACAAAUUGGCUAAGACCAACGAAUCCCUAUCUUUAACCAAUUCUACCAAAUUGCCAACUUGAGCAGCUCCAAUAUAUAUUUUUUCUAUAUUGGUAACCCCAAAACCCCUGCAAUAGUCAUUCACUUCCGGAAUAGACAAAUGGUCUAUAUCAACAUUGAAGGCAUAUUCUUUCCCCCCCCCUCCCGCAAUAUAAGCAGGUCCUACCUCACUCACAAGUAUACCACCGAUGUGAAACCUCAAAUUUAUGUACUUAGUGCCCAUUACCUUAGAACAAUUGAAAUAUGCAAAGUUUAAUGAGCCAACUAUUGUUCAUGAAAUCAGUAGCUAAAAAUCGCCACCAGUACAAAAAUUAAGUUCAGGAGUAAAGAAAGAGUACCUUAUGUAGUCAAUUUCUUUUCCUUUCAAAUCUUUUAAGAUGGUAUGAAUCAAAACCUAAAAAAUUAAACAAAAUCAUUAAUAUUUUGAGACAAAUAUAAGAACCCUAACAUUUUUUGACAAAUGAGUAACUAACCUCCAAACCAUGAUGAAUUUGUGAAUUAAUAGUUAAAACCCUAAUUUUACUCAAAAUUUUCAGACACCAAAGAGACUCAACUGAGAAACAGAGAAAGAUGCUUCUACACAUUGAAGGUUAAUCUUUAAUCUUUUGACAUGGUGGAAUUUGUUUCCAUGUGGCAUUUAAAAACUAAUAAUUGAGACAGUGUAAUACACACACUAUCAUAUUUUAUUUGAGGUGUGUUUUUCAAACUAAAGUGAAAUAGUUUAGGUGUAUUUCUUACACUUUUAAUAGUUUGGGUACGAAACUAAAAAAAAAGGUAUAGUUUAGGUGUGUUUUAACCACUUUUCUCAUUUUUAAAACAUAUGAGCUGAGUAUAUUUUGGGAGUAGUAUUGAACACCUAUAUGGGGAUGUGAGUUCAUAAUAACUCAAGUUUCCAUAAACUAUGUAGCCAUCAUGGGUAGAAAGGAUCAUACUUUUUAGAUGAUUCCUUAGUGCUUUUUAGCAUAGACUAGUGGAUCCACUUAGUUAAGGCAUUCUAUAUGAAGGAAAAGUAUAGUACAGUUGUGGCAGCGUGGGAAAGAUGAUGUAUCAUCACUUAGGCUCAUAGUGGUGGUUGUCGGUUAAAGAAACUCCCACAGUAUUAUAUUACUUUACAUGUAAAUUGAGUUGUUAUUGCAUUUCUUUAACAAAUUGAGUUGCUACCUCCUAUUUUAAAUGCUUUGUAUAACUGCACCAUUAUUGUUGUUUACUUUACAUUUGAGUUGAGUUAUUCAUGAGUUGAGUAAAGUCAAGGUAAGUGUUCUUUUCAGAUUCCUUUCAAGCUUAUGUCUUAUUUAGUGUUCCCCUCGCAUACUUGUACAUUCAAUGUACUUAUUCCAUUUGGCCUGCAUCAUUUUAUGAUGCAGACACAAGUAACCAGGAUCAGCAUCAAGCGCCUCGUUGAUCCAGUUGAGCACCCAAAGUCAAUUGGUGAGCCUCCUUGCUUUUUAGAGGACUCAUUUUACCUUGCUUUCUAGUAUUUCAAUUGUUAGGUGAUCGGGGGUUUUGUCCUGACAUCCCUCUUUGUUUUAGAGGCUUCAUAGACGAGUAGUUAUAGUUCUUUAGUCUUUCCGUUUUCAGUUGUAUACGUUAAGACUUGAGUUGCCAUUUUGGCUAAGCUUUAUAUCUCUUUAAAUUAUUGCAUGAGUUAUAUUUUGAGACUGUCUCUUAUGUUUAAGUCUUUCGCUGAGUAAGUAAGCCAGGCCAAGGGUUUGCUUGGGGUCAGAAAUGGUUCUCGAGUGCCAGUCCUACCCAGGGUGAAGGUUUUGGGCGUGACAAAAAUAUCAUUUUUCAUCUUUCCAAUGGGCAUAAUACUUCCGUUCACAACCAAAGUUUCCUCUACAGUUAUCAUGUUCACAUUAGCAUUCCCAUGUUUAGGCAGAUGAUUGUUGUUCACGUUGGGAUGAGGUCCACUAAGUUGGAUUUCUCCUUCUUUAAUCAAAGGUUCAAUCUUGUUUUUGAGACCAUAGCAAUCCUCAGUGUCGUGUCCAAAAACUCCAAAAUGAUAUACACAACGCCUAGAACCAUCAAACCAUUUUGGAAUAGGAUCAGGAAUUUUCCCUUCAAUUGGUUAUAUCAUACCUGCUGUUUUCAACCUCUCAAACAACUAAACCAAUGGUUCAGCUAUUUUGGUAUAGUUGCGAGUUGUUUUGAUUUCAUGAUUUGGAUGAGCUCUAAGUGCGGCAUAUGGUCGAUUUUGAAAAGUUGAAGCUUGGACUGCUUGGUAUAAAUGUGGUUUAUUGUAAAUAGGAACUCUAGGUUGAUAACAGUUCGCCUGGGUGUUGUAGACAUGAUAAAGAUUUGAUGGAGGAUGGUAGAGAGUAUGUGAGGCUUCACCAUAUUGGUAAGGGUAAAUGGGUUGAUGUUGUUGAUUUAGGUAGGGAAGAAGUUGACCUAGCCUGCGUCCUUGGUCAAUCAUGACAACAUAUACAUCUUCUUUCUUCUUUUUGUUCCCAUUGAUAGAACCAUAUUGAAUCACUUUGCUUGCAGCAUGCAAGGCUGUAAAGUCUUGGAUUCUUCCUAAUUUGAUUCUUUCUUCCAAGAUUUCUCCCAUUCUAAUGAUUUCUCUGAAUUUUGUCCCAUCAUGAUUAUCAUUUUAUCAUAGUAAAGGCUGUUAUCUUGAUAUUCAAUGAAGGUAGCAGUCAUUUCACUUUCACUUAUCGAUGGUUGGACUCUAGCUGCUUCUGACCUCCAACAUAGAGCAUACUCACAAAAUGUCUCAGUUGACUUCUUCUUCAACUUAGUCAGGUAGAACCUAUCUGGUGUGAUGUUGGUAUUGAACUUAAAUCGAUCCAUAAAGUCUUGUGCCAUAUCACUCCAACCACACCAUUUAUGGAGAUCUUGUUGUGUUUACCAAGCAAGAGCUUAACCAGAUAAACUUCUUAUGAACAACUUCAUUCUGACCCUCUCGUUUCUCCCCACUCCUACUAGUUUGUCACAAUAUGCCCUUAGAUGUGUAUGAGGGUCACCAAUUCCAUUGAAUAUAUCAAACUUUGGUGGUUUGUACCCUACAGGCAAAUCAAUGUCAGGUUACACACAGAUCCUCAUAUUCUAGGCUUUUGUUUCCCCUAGUAGUUUGGAGGUUUCUCAUUGCUUUCUUAAGAUUAUGAAUCUCUCUAGAUAACACAUCGUCAGCCUUUGCCUUGACAUCCUUCUCCAUUUCCUCAUACUGAUCUACCUCGGGUUGAAACUUGACCGAUAUUGGGUUGGUAAAGGCUUGAGUUUCCACCGCAUAUAUCGAAGGAAAAUAUUGCACAUAAAGAGUGGCAAUAUGUGCCCCUUGUAUAUGUUGAGCUAAAUAAGUUUGGACAAUGGGCGUAUUUUAGAUUGGAGGUGGUAGAUUCAAUGGGUUCACGGGAGUAAAUGUAGGCACUGGAUAGGUGUUAGUGGGUAGAGAAACGUAAGGAGUAUGAGAUGUAGGUUGAUUUUGUGGAUUGACGGGUGGUGGAUUAAGAGGAGUAGCAUAGGUAGUAUAAGUAGGUGGUUGACUUUGUGGAGGAAUGUGGAUGGGCGGCAAAUUUGGUGGAUUUGAGGGAGUAGUUAUAGGUAGGUUAUUGUUGGUAGGUGGAGGUUAUUGUGGAGGAAAGUGUUCAGGAAUUGGUGCAUCAAGUGAUGGAAAACGGGGUGGAUUUGGUGCAGUACUUCUAGGUUCAGGGAGUGGACUUUGGAGUGUGAUGGAUAAAUUGGUCAAGUCCCUAACCCGAGUUAGUUCACUACGUAGAUUCUCAAUCUCUUGAGUCAAGCGGGCGAUGUGUUCAUCAUGUUGAAUAGUAGUACUAUCUUUGGAAGUUUCGGGAGAGUCAUUAGGAACCAUGAUAUGUCCUGAACCAAUUGGAUCAAACGUUGUUGGAUUAGUCAUCGUGGUUUUCUUUCCUUGAAUAGCCCAACUACGCCGAGGUAAUGCCGAUGACUUGGACCUUGGGAAGUAAGGAUGGUCUGUCUGCUCGAUUGUCAACACGAAUCAACUUUGAUUGGGAAUAAAAUAAAGACAAAAGAUAGAAAGUAAAAUAUAAAUGAUGUUAGUUUCAAAUCAAAAAGUAAAGUCAUGUUCAAAUAAACUCAAAUAAGUCACAUAGCAAGCAAGUCAAAUAACAUACAAACAAGUCAUCAAGUAAAGUCAAAUAAGUUGUAAAAAUAACAAAGAAACAAAUCAUCAAAUAAAGUCAAAUAAAUUGUAAAAAUAACAUGUAAAUGCAUCAUAAUAUGCUUGUGACCUCUUUGUGCCAGAGGUAGGCCUAACGUAAAUUCAAGGAAUAUAUUUGCCAUAAUAUGUCAUUCCAUUGCUCUUGAUUAAUUAAACGAAUUUUAUUUGUCUAAAAAAGUACAAUAGGUGAAAUAUUUAUUACAUGUCGAAUGAAUACAACAUGAAGUACUUCCUAAAGUAAAAGAAAUUUUGUUAUGUCCGUCUUUCUUAGUUCCUUUUGGUGAUAUUAUCACUUCUUGUACUCCAAUGUCAAGUCUUCGUACCUGUCACAUAAAAGUUAGUCAUACCACCCCCUAAAGUUUAAUUAAUUAGAGCAAAUGGUCCAUAUUUAAGCAUGAAUAUUACUCAAAUAUGCACAUAAAUAAUGAUAGGUCGUCACUUGGGGUCGGAAACCCACUUGGACAUUUAAGGUAAAGUCAACUAAUGAACUUAAUACACCAAGGGUAUAAAGCCUCUUAGGUCAUGAAAUGAUGUAUGUUCCUUGUAAAGUGUGUUGGUUUAGCUCUACUCUAGGUAAACUAAGAGUGAGUUUACUAGACACAAGGUUCCCAAGUGGACUACUCGAGUGAGAAGGCUACGCGGUCAUACGGAAAAGAUCCGAACUCCCCUGCGCAUAUGCUAACUCUCCUAAAUUUUGAAAGAAAUUUUUGGGUGCGAAAAAUACACCUCGCGUAUACAUGUGAUAGUGUGAAUUUCCAAGAAGUGAAGAAAUAUGAACGGAAUGACAGUUUAGAAAAACAGUAACACAUAAAUAUUUUAUAGCAAACAAAUAAUUUAUAGCAUGUAAAAAAUAAUUUGUAGCUAAUGAAUAAUUUAUAUCCUGUGAAAAUAAUUCAAAGCAAACAAACAAUCAAUAGCAUGUAAAAAUAGCUUACGACAAAUAAUGUAAUUAAAGUAAGCACAUAAAAGCCUAAUAAAACUAAGUCUGUUAUGGUUAGAACCUAGUAAGUCUCCAGCAGAGUCGUCAUUUCUGUUAUGCCGUAAUUUUACUAUCUUUAGAAAAAUCAUUUUUUGAAAUGUUCUAAGUAUAAAACAAUUUGAGAAAAAAUACUUAGAAAAGAGUCACCACUUAAGAAAACUUAAUUUAAAAAGAUUUUAACAGAUUAAAUCUUUAUAAAUUUAGAGAAAAUGGGUAAGCGGUUCUUAUUUACGCUUCAAGAAGGUUUUUAAGGCAUUUGAAGCUCCCGCUAACACGCGGUUAUCCUACGACUUAGUUAGAAUAUAUUUUGACUAUUUUUUAAGAAAAUGGUUUACUAUGUAAAAAAAAAAUAUAUUAGAAUUUAUUUGACUCAUUUUUAAAAUAAUAAGUUGAGCCAAUUUAGUCGAUAAACCAAGAAAUCAUUUUAAUCUAAUUAAAUAUAAGUGAAAGUUUUGACUAAAAAAACAUUUGAAUAAGUAAAUAAAGAAUAAAGAGUUGAUGAAAUAAAAUUUAUUAAAAUAAACCUACACAAAGAAAAUAGUUCAUUUUUUGGAGAAUUCAACUAAGUUAAUUAAUGAUUUUAAAGUUGGAGUUAAUAAUAAUAAAAUAUGUGUAAAUUUCAUAUAUGACAUAUAUUAUAGUACUAUUUUCAAGCUAUAACAGUAGAUUUAGACUUUCAAGCUAUAACAUUAAAAAUUUCAGGUUAUAACAAGUUUAAAAAUAAAGAAAUGUUUUUAUUAAUUGGAAAAAACAUAAAAAAUAAAUAAAAAGAUAAACGAAAAUUUAAAAAAAAAAAUGGAAUUAGAAAUAAUAAAGUAAAAAACUGAAAAUUGUGGGCUGUAAUUUAAUUUGAAUUUAUUGUAGAUAAUUAAUGAUUAGCCGGAAAUAAGGGAUCCAAACUAAUUAAGAAUAUUCAGUUUCCUUAAUUCACUCUAAUUUGUUAAAAUUAAUUCAAAAAUCUGAUUUUAUCCAUUUUUCUUCCACGUUUCUCUCUCUUCAAUUUUCUUCCAGAAAUUUUGUCACUGGCGACUAAUUGAAGUUUUUUUAAUUAAUUCAAAAAUCUGAUUUUAAAAAUCAAUUUCCAUUUAUUUAAUAAAUGAUUAAUCUAUUUAUGAUUUUUUAUUAUUAAUUAAUAAUAUGUAAUUAAUAAGGAAAAAUGAAAAAAAAAUGGAAAUAGGGGUGUCAAUUAAAUUUGAAUUAAUUUAAGAUAAUUAUUAAUUAGCAUGAAUUAAGGAAUCUCAAACUAAUUAAGAAUAUUCAGUUUCCUUAAUUCACUCUAAUUUGUUAUGAUUAAUUCAAAAAUCUUAUUUUAUCCAUUUUUCUUCCACGUUUCUCUCCCUUCAAUUUUCUUCUAGAAAUUUUGUCACUGGCGACUAAUUGAAGUUUUUUUUUUGUUAGAAAAAUCCUUUUUUUUUUGUGAUGGACAACUACGUAUCAAUAUUAAUUAAACAUGGCGGAAGAUGGGAUCCUUCAGGUUAGUAUUUUUAAUUGUUUACUAUUUGUAUUUGGAUUUCAGUGAAAUGAAAAAAAAAAUGAAACUGUAAAUCACANNNNNNNNNNNNNNNNNNNNNNNNNNNNNNNNNNNNNNUUCGGGUUAGUAUUUAUUAUUGUUUAGUGUUUGUUUUUAAAUUACAUUGAAAUGGAAUUUUUUUUUAUUAAACUGUAAAUCGUCUCUAUGUUUAAGAUGAUAUCAUUACUUGUUAACUGUUGUGAAAUGUAUAAUAUUAGUGAUUUUCUGUUUUUGUGAUUGUUUUGUGUAUUUUUUUUUCUUAAAGUAUAAAGUAAUUGUAUAUCCAAAUAUUUAAUAGAAUUAUUGGAAAGAAAUUUGUAAGAAAAUGUGUUUCGUAAGAUGUAAAAAAAGUUAUUUGAAUUUUUGAUGAAUUGUAUAACAAGUGUUUUAAGUUGGUAUUAAAUUAUAAAUUUUAGUGUGUUAUAUUAGAUGUUGUCAUUUCUGAAGUAAUUAGUGAGUUAGAAAUGAAUUAUUUGGUACGAUAAGAUAUAGAUAUUUGUAAUGUAUGAUUAUUGUUGUAUGAAAUGUAUAUUAAGAAAGUAUGAAAUUUGUAUGAAAGCGUGUCCAGUAAUUUGAAAAAAACAAGUUAAUUUGAAAUUUGACGAAUUGUAUGAUAAGUGUUUUAAGGUUGUAUUAAUUUUGAAAUUUUAUUGUUGACAUUUUUGUAUAAAUUUGUGUGACAUUAAUGAAGUAUUUUCGUAAAAAAAAUGCACAUAUUUGUUGUAUGAAAUUUGUAUUAAAAUAGUAUGAAAGUUUUUGGAAUGUACUAUUUGAAUGAUAUUUGUAUGAAAUGUUUUUUGAUUGAAUAUAAAAAUUGUUUUGUAAUGUUCUGUCUGUCUGAAUGAUAUUUGUAUUUCGAAUUGUUUGUUUAUAAUGUGAGACUAAUUUAUAUAUUUUUUAAUGAAACAGGGAAUUAUGUNNNNNNNNNNNNNNNNNNNNNNNNNNNNNNNNNNNNNNNNNNNNNNNNNNNNNNNNNNNNNNNNNNNNNNNNNNNNNNNNNNNNNNNNNNNNNNNNNNNNNNNNNNNNNNNNNNNNNNNNNNNNNNNNNNNNNNNNNNNNNNNNNNNNNNNNNNNNNNNNNNNNNNNNNNNNNNNNNNNNNNNNNNNNNNNNNNNNNNNNNNNNNNNNNNNNNNNNNNNNNNNNNNNNNNNNNNNNNNNNNNNNNNNNNNNNNNNNNNNNNNNNNNNNNNNNNNNNNNNNNNNNNNNNNNNNNNNNNNNNNNNNNNNNNNNNNNNNNNNNNNNNNNNNNNNNNNNNNNNNNNNNNNNNNNNNNNNNNNNNNNNNNNNNNNNNNNNNNNNNNNNNNNNNNNNNNNNNNNNNNNNNNNNNNNNNNNNNNNNNNNNNNNNNNNNNNNNNNNNNNNNNNNNNNNNNNNNNNNNNNNNNNNNNNNNNNNNNNNNNNNNNNNNNNNNNNNNNNNNNNNNNNNNNNNNNNNNNNNNNNNNNNNNNNNNNNNNNNNNNNNNNNNNNNNNNNNNNNNNNNNNNNNNNNNNNNNNNNNNNNNNNNNNNNNNNNNNNNNNNNNNNNNNNNNNNNNNNNNNNNNNNNNNNNNNNNNNNNNNNNNNNNNNNNNNNNNNNNNNNNNNNNNNNNNNNNNNNNNNNNNNNNNNNNNNNNNNAUCAUCAAANNNNNNNNNNNNNNNNNNNNNNNNNNNNNNNNNNNNNNNNNNNNNNNNNNNNNNNNNNNNNNNNNNNNNNNNNNNNNNNNNNNNNNNNNNNNNNNNNNNNNNNNNNNNNNNNNNNNNNNNNNNNNNNNNNNNNNNNNNNNNNNNNNNNNNNNNNNNNNNNNNNNNNNNNNNNNNNNNNNNNNNNNNNNNNNNNNNNNNNNNNNNNNNNNNNNNNNNNNNNNNNNNNNNNNNNNNNNNNNNNNNNNNNNNNNNNNNNNNNNNNNNNNNNNNNNNNNNNNNNNNNNNNNNNNNNNNNNNNNNNNNNNNNNNNNNNNNNNNNNNNNNNNNNNNNNNNNNNNNNNNNNNNNNNNNNNNNNNNNNNNNNNNNNNNNNNNNNNNNNNNNNNNNNNNNNNNNNNNNNNNNNCUCAUGCCGCAAUUUGACUNNNNNNNNNNNNNNNNNNNNNNNNNNNNNNNNNNNNNNNNNNNNNNNNNNNNNNNNNNNNNNNNNNNNNNNNNNNNNNNNNNNNNNNNNNNNNNNNNNNNNNNNNNNNNNNNNNNNNNNNNNNNNNNNNNNNNNNNNNNNNNNNNNNNNNNNNNNNNNNNNNNNNNNNNNNNNNNNNNNNNNNNNNNNNNNNNNNNNNNNNNNNNNNNNNNNNNNNNNNNNNNNNNNNNNNNNNNNNNNNNNNNNNNNNNNNNNNNNNNNNNNNNNNNNNNNNNNNNNNNNNNNNNNNNNNNNNNNNNNNNNNNNNNNNNNNNNNNNNNNNNNNNNNNNNNNNNNNNNNNNNNNNNNNNNNNNNNNNNNNNNNNNNNNNNNNNNNNNNNNNNNNNNNNNNNNNNNNNNNNNNNNNNNNNNNNNNNNNNNNNNNNNNNNNNNNNNNNNNNNNNNNNNNNNNNNNNNNNNNNNNNNNNNNNNNNNNNNNNNNNNNNNNNNNNNNNNNNNNNNNNNNNNNNNNNNAAUGGAGAAAGUUUGAUAGUGGGUUGUGGGUUGAGUCGUGUGGGAGUGAAGAAACGUGUGGGAUGGUGGUGUGAUCAAUGAUUGGGGAUGGUAACGGUAAACAAGGAAAGGAAAUCCCUAAAAUUGGGUAACUGAAAAUUUUAGUUUUUUAAAAAAGGAAGUAAAAUAAAAUUAAUGAUCUAUUAUUAAAUUAAUAAUAAAAACUAUAAAUAGAUUAAUAAUUUAUUAAAUAAAUAUAAUUUAAUUUUAAAAUAAAAUAAAAUUUAACUGAUAUGUCAUAGCCCGUAAAUAAUCUGUUAUAAGCAAGAAAUUUUUAAAAGUAGAUUUAAAACCCGUAAUAUUUACUCUUAAAUGUGUAUAUGGGGUGAUUUUUUCAUAAAAAAUUAGUCAAACAUUAUCGAAGCAAAUAGAAGAGCAAAAGUGAUAAUGUAAUUGGGCCCUUUCUUGGGCCAAUUUCGCUGCAAAUUUUUGGGGCUUUAACCCAAUUUCCAUUUUGUAUACAUCGGUUGUAUAUCAAUGUAUAUCAGCAUGUAUAUCAGCUUUUUACAUGUAUCUCUUACUUCCGAACACCUGUAGUUUGCCUCAUCUCUGUAUUUUCGUAUUUUUGACCUGUUUAUCAGUCCCUGACCUUGUAUAUCAUGUAUACAAUUGAUGUAUACCAGUGUAUUUGAGUGUAUACAGCCCCACAUUUCCACUCACUUUACUUCUGCUUGCCCUGUAGUUUAGCCUCCUUUUCAUUCGAACAAGAUGAGGCUGACUCAAAUGAAUCAACUCGGAGAAAUGCAAGGAUGGAGUCCAAAAUAGACUCGGUGGAUGUCACUUUUUCCAGGCAACGAACGGAACGAACAAGCUUGAAGGAUCUUUCCACGACCACAAGUGUGAUUCCGACGAGGCAAAAAGAAAUUCAAAGAAAUAUAGAUCUAAUUUUUUGAGGUUAUAUCGAUAUUAUAUUCAUCAAUCUAAAAUUACGACUUUCAAAAUCCCCCCCUCCAAACACUGACUGGUCGAGAGUUUAUAUAGGGGAAAAGAAAAUCGUUUUGGGGGGAAAUCGGAUGGAAAGUAAGAACUCUCUAAAGGAUAAGGUUGACAACAGAUUUCUUGUACGAAUUUGAAUGGAGAAGCGUUGGGCUCGAGGACGUGAUUUGCGGCUAGAUUUCUGGGUUUGCAGCGCGAUUUGCUCGCUUUCUCACUGGGUUUCGCUGCUAGCUUGUGUUUGCUACGCGUGAAGAAGACGAGGUGGGGUCGGGGCGUUGCUGUUGGAGAAUUGGGUUGGGUUGUAUGUAUGCUGUAAUGUUGGAAUGGGUAUUGGAUUAUUAAUUGGAAUUGUAUUGCUGUAACUGUUGGGCUACUGGAGUUGAUUGAGAAAUAAGAGGGCCCAACACUUGGUCUUGAAUUGUAGCCAUUUAGAGUUAACAAUUUAGCCAAAUUGGAUUUAGUUGGUGAUUUGGCUAAAGAUUAAAAAAGAUGAAUUAACAUAAAUUAAUUAAUGAGCUUCUUAAUGUUAACGAAAUAAAAUAAUCGACUUAAUUAUAAACUAAUUAAUUAAAAAAUGCAAACUAUUAUAUAACUAAACUAAUUAGUAAAAUAUUUCAACAAAAUAAAAUAUUUUUUAAGAUGACUUUGGAAUAUUUAUAAAAUAUACUAAUUAUAUACAUAACUAUGUAAAACACAUAUAUAUUUUUAAAAUUAUAAAAAUCAUACAACUAUUUAAAAUAAGUUGAAAACUAUAUUUUUCUUUGAGAUUUUAUAAAACUAAUUAUUUUUAAUCGUUUGAAAUUGAAGAAGCUCAAUGAUUAAUAUAUACAAUGUGGAGGUCCAAAAUUGGGUGUCAACAUCUGGCACCCACAAUCAGCUUCUACGUGCCGUGGAACCUACAUGGCCUGUAUAUGAGCUCAUACAACACUACACCAGCAACUUCUUAAACUUUCAAAUUUACAAGUUACCUAUUACACUUUUGAGGUGUUACAUCUACCUUCUAAGGACUGGUGAAUCAAAUCUUCCAAAAACAUUUAAGGAAGUUCAUCUUGGUCUUUAUUAUGACAUUUUGGUCUUUAUAAGAACUUGGUUGAGCACCAGGUUCAUCUCAAUACCACAUUUGAAUUAUUGUUGCAACAUAAGUUGUAUGCUAAGAGAUCCAAAUGUGUGUUUGUUGUCAUCACUAUUUAAUAUUUAGUUCAUUACAUAUGUGCUUUGAGGGUGUCUACUAACCCCAAGAAGAUCCAAACAAUCCAGGAUAAUUACGAGGGUUUUGGGGUCUUGCAGGAUACUAUAGGAGGUUUAUUAGGUUUUCUCAGUAAACCACUUACUGAUUUUCUCAAGAAGGAUGGAUUAUAUUGGACAAAAUUGGCUACCACAACUUUUAUUAAACUAAAAUAUAUACUCACUUCUGCUCAUGUCCUAGCUUUACCCAAUUUUGACAUCACAUUUGUAGUUGAGACAUAUGUUUGUGAUGUGGGCAUAGGAGAAAUUUUGAUGCAACUUGGGCCCCCUAUUACUUACCUUAGUAGAGGUUUGUCUCUAAUACAUCAAGCUCUCUCUACGAUAGAUAACUUUUGGCUUUGGUGAUACUUACAAUCAAGUGGAAUCUUUGUGGUGAAAACUGAUCAGAAGGCACUCAAGUUCCUACUUGAACAACACUUAGACAUUGAUUCCUAACUAAAGUGGAUCACAAAGCUCAUGGAAUUUAACUUUAUGAUUGAAUAUAAGAAAGGGAAAGAGAAUAAGACGGUUAGCUUGCCUUGACAUUGUCUAAUGUUAGGACCAACUUGCUACAGUCAAGAAUUGAUAGUUGGGAAGUUGAUUGUAAGCACAAGUUAGUGAUUCAACAACUUUAUAUAGUGAGUUUAAACAAGUCAUAUAAUCAUAUAAGAGUGCACAUAAAUUGAAGAUAACGAUCAAAGAUGUAUGAGGAUGAGUUGUGAUUGAACAAAUGAAAUCCUCACAAAAUAUACUUGUGCUUUAGUAAACAUUAUUUUGAGGAUGUUAAUUAUAUAACCACUAUCCAUCCUCAUUCCCAAUUACGUGGACUCUUAUAUGAUCAUACGGUUUGUUUAAGCUCAUUAAGCUAUGUAAAAUUUUAAUAAUUUAUUUUUUUAUUAAUUAAUUGUUUUUUUGACAAUAUGCUAGUAAGAGCUAUAAACUCAUACAAUAUAUUAUUGAUAAAAUGUGUAGUUUAGAUAUACAGUGAAUUCAGUUGAUGGUCCUCAAUAUAAUAUAAUUUAUGUGUAGUUAUUUACUUUUUUGCUAUAUACUAAUAUUUUGUUUAUCAUUGCACCAACCAACAUAUACCUUACAAAUGACGGAGUAUCAAUCUAUACGAUCCAUCAUAUACUAGCCACAUGAGAAAUACUUUAUUAUAUUUAUUAUGUACAAUACUAACAAACUUUAAAUAUCCACUUUUGCAACGAUAGUAGAGUACAACUCAAAUUGCACCCAAUCGUAAUAUUUGACUUUUUUUAGAUAAAAAAUAAGGUAAUCUUUGUUUUACAUUUCAAACAUUCAAUGCAAAAAGAUUAUUGCUCCAUCUAAGUAAAUGAGGAAUGUAAUGCUUUCCGUUAUGUUGUCGCUCCAUCUAAGUAAACGAGGAAUGUGCAAACCAGUCUCUAAAGACUGUUCGGCGUAUUUUGCAAGAUGAGGAAAAGUCUCAUAUAUCCAACCCUGCAAUCAAUGGAAGAUAUAUAUAAAUUUAUAGAGUCUAUGUAUUAGUGCAUUAACAUAUAAGAGUCUACAAUAAAUCGAUAAGAUGAUAGAUAAUAAGUACCAAAAAUGCCUAGAAAAAUUCAUAUAAAGCGUACAAUGCAUUAUUCUUCUUAUUAAAAGUUUUUUUCCUAUUUGUUCAAAUCAAUCUUCUUCUUCAAACAACUCUAUGCUAGCCCAAACGUCUCUUUUCCUAAUGGAUAAUUCUUGAAGAAAUUUUAACCAAAUACUAUUUUGAUUUGGUUUGAAUCCACUUUCUUUGUCGAAUCCCUUGUUAGCAGCACUGAGUGCACGAACCAAACUAAAAAGCAUUUCAACUUUUGCUCCUUUCUCAAUUAAUUAAAUUUGAUCAAGCUUUUCAGCCUUUCAAUAUGGAUGUUAUUGUUCUUGGUCACCUUGAAAUAAAAAAAUUUACAAUAUUGAAGGACCUUGCUCAUUUUUUAUUCACGGAGUAUGCUUACAAUUCAACCUCGUAAUCAAAGCAAAUUUCUUUAAGACAAGUUGGCUUAUCGUUCACACAGAACCAAAUAUCAUGCAACUUUUUUAUUCUUCGCACAUCACAACAACAUAUAACAUAUAAUUUAUUUAUUGUAUUUAAAAUGCUUCGGCAAAUGUCUCAAGUGUUCAAAACAUAUUUUACUUGAAAUCAGCAUAGAGCUUUUGAUUAAUCAGAAUUUUUCUAAAGUGAUCAGGAUAAACCACCAUCCUUACUCUCACAAAUUUUUUUCUAAAAGUGGUCAACUUUUUCAGCUUUACGUUUCUUACUGUUGCAAGCAAUUCUUUAAUGAUUUUCUAUCUUUAGCCAUACUUUACAAUCUAUAAGGAAAAACAAAUUUGUAGUGAUCAAUCCACUGGUCUAUUAACUGAAACAGAAAAGUACUCUAUCAAACAUGCAUAACAAGUUGCAGUAAUUCUAGAAAGGAAGAAUGCAAAAGAUAGCAAUCAAAACACCAUUAAUAUCUACUAAAACAAAGAAAAAAAAUUCAAAAUUGAUAUACAAUAUAAACAUAAAAGUUCAAAAAAAUUCUAAUCUUUAUCCAAAGCAAAACGCAAUUAACGAUGCAGAAUCAAAAAAUGUGAACUCAAAACAUAUCAAAUUUUAACAAAUUUAAUCAAGAACAAUUGAAUUUUUGUGAAAAUUCAAAAUCCACUAAACUAAAAUGAAACAAAAAAAAAUAGUAAAAUGGAGCAAAAACUGUUCGGGAAAGAAAAAUGAACUUAUUUGAGCACAAGAAGUUGAAUGUUUCGACUUGGGAAAGAAAAUUGGAGAAAAAAAUAUUUCAACUCUUUGAGGUACUCAAGAGGGAAGAAGAGAGGUUGAGAAGACAGAGGAAAGUUAUUGAAUAAUUAAAUGAAUUUUAAAAAAGGUAGAAUAUGUAUAAUAAAUACAAAAGGGACUUGAUUAUAUUUUUAUAAACUUCUAUUUUAAACCCAAAAUUUUAAAAAUGUUAAAAUGGUCCAUGACCCCACAACCCUACCCCACCUUUUCCCACCUUUUCACCUUUUCAUAACCUAACCCUAAAAAAUAAAACAAAAAGAAAUUUAAUGACUAUUUAUCAAAAUAAGUUUUGGUAGUGUCUCCAUUGCCAAUUAAUCUCUAGUUACAUCAACCAACAACGUAGAUGGCAUGUGAUGUUGUUGGAAGGUUCUGAUGCACCUUUGAGGGUUGAGAUACUUUAAGUUGUGGAAUAGUUCUACCAAGGGAGGUCACUCUAACUCAAGUAUACACAAGCAUCACAAUUGAAAAAUUGCUUAAACAAUUUUCUGAACUCAACUAUUUAAAAAUACUGAGUAUGAAAUAUAAAGUUUUAAGUAAAAGAUCUUAAAUUGAAUACUGAAAGACUACCCAAAAUUGUCUAUCUAUGAAGUCUCUAUUGUUUAAAGAAAGAUGUUGAGACAAGACUCACGACACCGCAAAAUGCUACUACUAACAAAUCAUAAGAAUGGAGUUCUGAAUAUAAGGAGGCCUCACCAAAGGCUGGCAAGCGGAUGAUGAGAUCUUAGUGAAACUAUUGUUGAUGAUCCUAAGUACCUGAAUUUGCAUCAUGGAAUGAUGCAUAUCAAAUUACAUAAAUAAAUAUAAUGUCCACGUAUGUAAUAGGGCUGAAUAAAAUAAAUAAUUAAGUUAAGAGACAGAAAGCAACUCAUCUAAAGUAUAGUAUAAAUCAUGAUGAAAAUUAUUUAAACUCUUUCUUUAAGGAUGCAAUAAAAGUAAAUAUUGAGCAUCGUGAUGAUACAACGUCUCACAUACAUUGCCAGAACUUCCCUAUACUUUGCCAGAGUAUAGAAUAUUACUUAAGUAAUAAAUUCAUAUAAAAAGCCUUCUUGAGACCGUUAAGAAGUCGCCCGAAGUACGGUGUGAUCCUAUCCCACAUUGGCUACAUGCUUCAUGGAGUUAAGAUUUAUCUGGAGGCUCACCCAAAUCAGUGCUCAAUACUACUCUAAAAAAAUUAACACCCCGCAACUAGAAAGAGCUAGAAUUAGAAAGAGUCAUUUUUGGAGAGAAUGAAAAUCAGGAAAUUUGACAAAAUUAAGUUAAGUAUGAGUUUUAGGUAAACUUCAAACAAUCAUAAUUCCUAGCUCAGGAUGAUUUAGGUCUGCUACAAGUAACCGUAGGAAAUAUAUUUGAAUUAUCUUUCCAACGCAGCCAAGUUUGCUCAGUUUCGAGUUCGUAUGAGUGAGAUAUGCCCAUUUGAAGUUGGGCUAACUAGAUAAGGAAAGUCAAAACCAGAUUUGAGAAGGGCAUUAUAGUCUUUUCACCACCCAAUUAAUUAAUUUCAUUUUUGGUAAUUAAGUUGGGGUCUAAACUGAUUGGAUUCAGUUUACGCUUUUGAAAAACAAGUUAGGGUUUAGAGAGAAGAGAAAAGAGGAGAAGAAGUAAGGAAUCACCAAGUUCUUGAAGAAUUGCUUGUGGAUUUCGUCAAGGGGUGAUCCCUACGAGGUAUAUGAGAUCACAUAGCGUUGGGUUAGUUUACCCACGCUACAAUCAUGAUUUAUUUCAGCGAAUUUAGAUUCUUGAAGGUUUAGAAAUUGAGUUCUUGAUGGAUUUGUUUGAAGUUCUAUUCGGUUCUUGAUUUUAGGAGUUGUUGAGAUGUUCUUGAUUUUGAUUCAUGAAAUUAGGUGUCGUUUUGAGUAGAUUCUUGCAUAUUUUGAUUAUGUAGUCGAAUCUAAGUGUUUGGGAAAUGACCCAAUUGAGUUUAGAGGGUUUAGAGUUGAAAAACGAGCAAGAAAAAUCAUCAAACACAUGGGCAGAGGGGUGGGGCGCCGCGCCACUCAGAGUUAACCCUGGGGCGCCGCACCAGCCAGCGCACCCCAACUUCAGUUCUGAAGUUUUGGAUCUGGCUCUCCGCGCCACUCAGAGCGCCAGGUCUUUUACUUCUCCCCACUUCUUUCCGUACUAGUUUCCUUGUAACGUACCUAUGUUUUCUAGUUGAUUUUUAUACUCUAAGGUAUAUCUAAACAACAUGAAAUAUCCAUAACAUGAGAUCAUGGGCCUUGAAUCCAUAAUUCAAUUCAAGGAAAGUUAAGAGUCAAGUCAAGAGAAGUUCAUAGAGUCUUCCAAAAGUCUUUUACAAAUGUUUUAACUUGUUUUAAGACUUGAGUUUUUGAGUUGAGUAAAGAGUAAAGAAUGAAGUUCAUUUCUUCAAAGAGUAUAUGGGGACUAUGUAUUCCCAAAGAGUUUAAACUGUUUUCACAUUUAAAUAAGAAAGAAAACUGAGAUUUCCAAAGAGCGUUUGAGCUAGUUUUCAGAAAAGAGUAAAUGCUUUCACAAUUAAGCAAGAGAGGAAACUUUGAUUUCCAAGAGAGCCUUUGANNNNAAAUUAUCUCAAACCACAGAAAGAAGUAUGUUUUUAAACAUAAGAGUUAGUAUUAUAUUUUAGGAGUAGUAUUGAGCAACGAUAUGUGAUGUUUGCGUAAUCAAGACACAACUUCCAAUUCGAGUGUCUACGAUCGUACAAUAGUAAAGUAACCCAACCANNNNNNNNNNNNNNNNNNNNNNNNNNNNNNNNNNNNNNNNNNNNNNNNNNNNNNNNNNNNNNNNNNNNNNNNNNNNNNNNNNNNNNNNNNNNNNNNNNNNNNNNNAGUAUAAACAUACUAAAUCUAAAAGGGGGGGGGGGACGUAAGCGUCAAUUAUCAAUGUGGGUUUACGUAUUAAUUAACAACUACAAACAACGAAAAUAUACGAAAACUAGAUAGAGAGAUGGGAUUCUUGGGAUGUGAUAGGAAUAUAGGAUAAACUAAACUAUCGGGUACAUGCUUUUGAUAGUAAAUUAUUGAGUAUUUGUGACUAUGCUAGACUAUAGUGGGGGUAAAUUCUCUCUCGAGCAACUUACCCCCAAUCGACUCGGUUUCUCUUGAACACCGAGUUGUCGCUUUAAGCACAGCCUCCGCCUUAGCCCAUUCACUCUCUCGAGCUGAAUGUGUGGGAGAAGGACUAGGAUUCACUAUCUCGAGUUGAACCCAUGUCGACCCAAUACCACCGACUAUCAAUUUAGUAGUCUUAGUUUUACGACCUCUCUCUCGAGCAAGCCGAAAACACUAAGAUGAAAUCGUAUUUGCAACUACAACUCCAUUAAGUUCAUACACAACUACAAAACGAAAUCAGAUUUAAACAACAAAUAAAUCAUCAACAAGCAAGACCCAACAGAUAAUCUAACCCAUAUUCACAAAAUCACACCCCAAGAAUUGGGGUUUUAGCUAAACAUGUAAAAGAGAUAAAAAUUUAUACCAAUAUCAGUUUCCAUCAACCGGGUAUGAAGGAUUAAGUCGUAAAACAUGUCAAGAGUGAAGAAUCUUAGAGACCCAAGUCCAAUUUCUUGGAGUUGAAACCCUUUGAAUCUUCAAGGUCUUAGAACAAAGUCUUCAAAACCCUCUAAAACUUACACUCUCUAAAAAACUGUAAAAGGUUCUCAGAAUAAUAGUGAUAUGAUACUAAGAUAGAAAUUUAAACAAGUAUUUAUAGUGUUUGAAAAUGUGCUGCGAAGGACCCUUCGGCGAAUAUAGUCGGGAUCACCGAUACAUUCGGCGAUCCGCCGUUUGGUUGAUUUCAUCGCCUUCCUACUUUAGCCUUUAGCCUUUAGCCUUUUCGCAUUUUGAGUCGUUGGGCGAUUCGGUACUGCUUCGCGGAACUGUUCGACGACACGCCGACUACUCCAUUGCAUCGCCAACUUGACUUUUUCCUUCAGGGCUCAGCGCACUGGAACAAAGGCGAUCUCCAGGCCGAUCGACGACUCGCCAACUGGGCUCGGCGUAUCUUCAGGCCUUCAUUUCUUCGUUCUUUACAGCCGCCUUGUUCCUUCUUGCCAAGUAGUGUCCAUGCUUUGCCUCAAACUCUAAAUACUUGAAACUUAAGGAUUUUCAUCAGAUAUUGAGAUAAAAUAUGCAUUUGAGGACACUAAUUCUAUCAAAAUAUAGCCCUAAAUGAGUCCAAAUUGUGGACUCAUCAAUACCCUCAACUUAAACUUUUGCUUGUCCUCAAGCAACUCGAGUUCAACUUGUUUAAAAAGGGUGUCUCAAAUAGUGCUACACAAGAAUCAAUCAUGAAUGCAUACAACAAGACUCACUUUAUGCAAAGAUCAAUUGUGCACUCAAAGAUUCAAGUUGUGACUCACUAAUAUCGAAGAAUCUCAUGCUCACAAUACUUGCUUGAAGUGCAAGUCCAAGCUCAACCAAAGUGUUCAAAUGCCCUGACGCAAAGAAUGAUUCCAUAUUCACACAAUGGUUCAUAGUUUAAAGUUUCGGAAUCAAAUGCAACGCUCACACUCACAAAGAAUGAACACAAUGCAUAAUUUCACCCAUAGGUUUUCCCGUAUUUUCCAAUCAACACUUGCUUCAGCUCACUCAAGAUCACAAAGGUCUUUCAAGGCUUGUAAUGGGGCUGAGUGCAAAUGUAUGGCCAUUUAGGCUCAGUGGCUAUAGUCCUCAUGAGACAAAUAUUGAAUAGCACUCCCUUUCAUCUUCUUUCAUCAUUUUCAUUUAUGCUCAAAAGUAUUCCUAUUAUUCACUUCCCAUGGAUAGUUGGAAACCCCAAUUUUCUUUAUACUUUCAUAACUUUAUUCCAUAACUUUUUCAUUUUUUUUUGUAUGGAGGGGUUCCAUUUUUCACAAAAUCAUGGUAGAAGGGACUUUCUUGUAUUUCUUGAUUUGCCUUCUCUUUUCACCACACCAUUUGGCCUAAGUUGGCUAUUCAAACAAACCACAACUUCAUGAGGAUUAUGGGUUAUGGUUAAAGAAAGGUAAUUGUUUUCAUCAAGUUUCUUUCAAAGAAAGAUAAGGCUCAAGGGGUGUUCAAAAGAGGUUCACACACACUCACAAGGUAGGCCACAAAAGAGGUAUGUGUCAAAUUGACUCACACUCUUAGAAGUUGCCUAAUAUCAUAUCAAAAGAUAGCCUUACUUAGUUGACCAGACCAACGGGGUAAAUUCUAGGUGUUGUCAUGCAUGGUUCAUAGUAAGCUCAUCACACAAGGCAUCGACACUAAAGUCAAACAAGACUUCACACUUCCGCUAGUGUGCAACGAUCAUCACAAAAGACUUGAUUUAAUAAUUGGCUAGUCACAACAAGAUGCAAAAAGUCAACAUAUUGUCUAUGCAACUUCAUUUGGCCUCAUCAUAGCCGCACAUUCAUAUUUAUUUGAUUAUGAGCACUAUUUAAGUCAUCGGUAUUGAUCAAAAUUGUUACUCAAAUUUGCGAAAGAACAACCACAUUCAACAUAUACAAGAGGUGGCGAAUUUUUUUUCGGAAGGGUCAAAAUCAUUUGGAAUUUAAAGCAAAAGAAUCCACAAGCUCAACCUUCCACGAAAGCAGUAUUAACACAAUUAUAGAUUACAACGCAAAUACAUAAACAAAACAUAAUUCACGAAUAGCACACAAAGGUGGGCCACACCCCACCACAAUUAAAAAUAAUUUGUCCUCAAAUGCAAAUAAUAAAAUAUCCAAAAUGUAAAUUAAAGAAGGACAGAGAAGGAGGUAAAGAGGGGAUCCUGUCUAAGUGGUCGGUCCGUCUGUCUGGGCAUCAGUGCCUGAUGUGUCAGCAUGGACUUGGAUAAUAGUCCUCAGAGCAACUUCAGAAGGUUCAGCGACAACUGACUUUCUAAAAUUGUCCAAGUCAUGAGCCGCCAAAAAGGAAUGUAUAGCUAUGUAGAAUCCACGAGUCCACGAAGGGACAGUGGGAUCUCGGGGGACAGAUCUCUUGCUAGAACUAGGCUUUUUGCCCUCACUUCCCGUCUUGGGAGGAUUCGCUUCAUUUGCAUCUUUCCUAAAAAAUUUCGCUCUUAUCUGCCGAGGUGGCAUGAUUCUCCCUGCAACUUUAGGUCAAGCUAUGUCUGCAAAUCUUCGAGGCAAAGUUAGAAAAUAUUCGACAAACAAAACAAGGACAAUUAGCUGCAGGCAGACUUGCCAAUCCUUUCGGCGAGCAAGAGGUUGCCCGCCGAAGGUUUCAGUGCAGUGGGGGUUCAAGGGGUGCAGACAAAGGGCGAACAAGUAGGCUUUCAGUGAUUCGCCGAGUGCUUUUGGCGAACUCAUGCUUCUCGCCGAAAGGUUCAGAAACCAACAAAACAUAUAACGUGAACUUAAAGGCGAGAUGAGGUCAUUAGGCGAGCCGCAGAGUGGUUUGGCGAGCUCGACCUAGCUUGCCAAACGGCCCAACGUUCCUUCAUGCAACCCACUUUCUCAAAUUCAACCCCGCAACCCCCCGAAAACAAAAUCAAGCCAUGCACAACUCAAAUUAGGUUUAGACCCAAUGACACUCAUGAACAACCCACGAUUUUUCAUUUCCUUCAAUGUACAAUUUUCAGGAAUUGACUAUUUAACUCGAUACGGGCAAAAUUAGUGAAUCUAACAGGCAAACAAUUUUUUUUAAUCCUACCAGAGAGGUCCAACACAUAUCAACAAGGUAAUAUCAUUGCAUUGAGUACAAAAUCGAUAGAAAGAACUCAGAGUUUGGGAACCAACCUUUCGUGCUAACUAAAAUGGAAUUGAAUCGCUAGGCAGGAAUGUAAUCCAAGUUCCGAGCACACAUCAACAACUAAAAAUACCUCAAAAAUGCAAGAAAUAUAAAAACUAGAGUGCAGGUGUGAGUUUGGGAAGAUGGAAAGGUAAGGGAAAGGGAAUGAAUUUUGAAACAUUUAAACCUUUGGCCUGAAAAACCGUCCAGUUUUCGCCCAUUUAGCGACAUUAGUCAGAAUAGCCAAACCACUCGACAUUUCGCCAAGUAGCCACUUGCCUCGCCAAAUUUUACAGAAGUUCCAGUUAUUUUGAGAGUCCAAACGACGGUCUCCAUUGGGAUCGUCGACAUGGUCGGCGAUUCGCUAAUAAUUUCCUAAGCUCGCCGAGUUUUACAGACUCCAAUGUUGGUUGGUCUUGAGUCUCACGGCGGUCUAGUUCGGGGUCGUCGAACCGUUCGGCGAUUCGCUGAAUGGACCUGUUACUUGCCAAUCUCUACUUUUCAUUCACUCUCCACGCUUUCAUCUGCACAAUCAACACACCAUUAUUUUAUCAAAGCAACAUAAAGCAAUAAAGAGUUUUGGAUUGCCUCCCAAACAACGCAUUAGCUAACGUCGUGGCACGAUGGAAAUCCACCUUCAAACCUCAUUUUUGGGGUUAACCAUAGUGUCACUAGACAAACCCCUUUUUUGUCUCGAAUUUAGGUGAGACGACAUCUGACCCAUUUGGAUCUCCAACUGCUUGAUUGAUACUGAAUGGGAGGUGACGGUCUAGCUCAGGGUCGACACAUCUUCCUUAAUUUAUUUCAAGAUCUUGUCCGACCCCUCAACUUUGUUGAGGAUAUGAGAAAGCAUAUCCUCAGACCGACCACCUUUCGAAUCCUUUGACUUUUGGUGCUUAUGGAGAGGCAUAUACUUGUCUUUCUCCCCAUCCUUUCAGUUAGGAUUUUGGUCCCUCCAUUCUCUGUCGCGAUCCUUUCAACCAUCUUCUCUAGCCCAACCCUAGUUACCACCCUGCCUCAGGGUAGUUUGAACGAUAACCACACCCUUGGUUGGCUAGAAAAUUUACCCCAUCAUUAUACAAGGCUUCAAACUUCGUCUCCUCAGGAUUUACACACCCGACCCCAACAACAUUGACACUACGGGCACCAGCCCCCAUGACAUUUUUGGAUAAAAUGUCAAGCUAUGUCAUGAUAUUGGCCAUGUUUUGGUCUCUCUCAUGAUCCUUUUCCAUCUGCUCCUUGGAUAGCUUGAAUGUGAGAGGGGAGACCUGGUUCUCGCGGGUGUACCACGAUCUGUUGAUGGUUGUCAUGCCAUUUAGAGGUUGGGCUGCUAUUGCAUACGGUUGCUGUAUCAAGACUCCAGGUGAAAGUUGGUCAGCCACACUUUUGUUUAUCGAGUCCAAACUCCGGUAAAAGUACUGUAGCAGCACAUUAUCCGGCAAACCAUGGGUUGGGCAUUGAAGCACCAACUUUUUGAACCGCAGCCAAGUUUCGUGCAAAGGCUCUCCUUCUAGACACUUAAAGAUUUGGAUACUGUCCCGAAGAGUCAUCAUCUUCGAGGGAGGGAAAAAUCGCACAUUAAAUGUGGUGACCAACUCCUCCCAAGAAGUGAUAGAUUCACAUGGCAAUUCCGCCAGCCAUUUGCACGUUUCUCUCAUCAACGAGAAAGGGAAUAACCUUAACCGGACUGACUCCUGAGAUAUGUUUUUGAAAGAGAAUGGUUUGCACACAUCUACGAAGUUUCGAAUAUGCUCGUGAGGAUCCUCAUGCGCCAAUCCACAGAAAAGUCCUUUUAGUUGCAACAUAGUGCUCGUUAUAUGGAACACUGCAUUUCCUUCGGUUGGAGGUAAACGGAUGGCCCCAAUACCUACCAUGAGAUGGGGGUCAUUAAUGUUGGGCUCUUGGACAUCGUUGAGAUUUCUGAUGUCGUCUUGGUGGCACACCUGGCUGCCAUUGGUGCCAUUAACACUCAUGCUUCAUGAAAUAUUUACACAAACCAACGAAACAAAACUACAAAUUAAGUAAGUAGAACUACAACUAAGAAGAACAAAAAAAUAAUUUACUUAACUACAAAUUCUCAAUUAACACCACUCCCCGGUAGCGAUGCCAUUUUUGAUGUUUGCGUAAUCAAGACACAACUUCCAAUUCGAGUGUCUACGAUCUUACAAUAGUAAAGUAACAGAACCAAGGGUUGGGAUCGAGUCCCAAUGGAGUGGUUUUGAGAAUUUAUAGAAAAAUAAAAUUUAGUUCUAAUUAGUCAUAGCUAUAGACAUUAUCGAAUAUAAACAUACUAAAUCUAAAAGGGGUGACGUAAGCGUCAAUUAUCAAUGGGGGGUUUUGUAUUAAUUAACAACUACAAAUAGCGAAAAUAUACGAAAACUAAAUAGAAAGAUGGGAUUAUUGGGAUGUGAUAGGAAUACGAGAUAAACUAAAUUGUCGGGUACAUGCUUUUGAUAGUAAAAUUGUUGAGUAUUUGUGACUAGGCUAGACUAUAGUGGGGGUAAAUUCUCUCUCGAGCAACUUACCCUGAAUCUCCUCAAUUUCUCUGAAACACCGAGUUGCCACUUUAAGCACAGCCUCCGCCUUAGCCCAUUCACUCUCUCGAGCUGAAUGUGUGGGAGAAGGACUAGGAUUUACUCUCUCAAGCUGAAUGCAUGUCGACCCAAUACCACCGGCUAUCAAUUUAGUAGUCUUAGUUUUACGACCUCUCUCUCGAGCAAGCUGAAAACACUAAGAUGAAAUCGUAUUUGCAACUACAACUCCAUUAAGUUCAUACACAACUACUAAAAUAAAUAAGAUUUAAACAACAAAUAAACCAUCAACAAGCAAGACCCAACAGAUAAUCUAACCCAUAUUCACAAAAGCACACCCUAAGAAUUGGGGUUUUAGCUAGACAUGUAAAUGAGAUAAAAAUUUAUACCAAUAUCAAUUUCCAUCAACUGGGUAUGAAGGAUUAAGUCUUAAAACACAUCAAGAGUUAAGAAUCUUCGAGACCCAAGUCCAAUUCUUGGAGUUGAAACCCUUUGAAUCUUCAAGGUCUUAGAACAAAGUCUUCAAAACCCUCUAAAACUUAAACUCUCUAAAAAAUUGUAAAAAGUUCUCAGAAUAAUAGUGAUAUGAUACUAAGAUAGAAAUUUAAACAAGUAUUUAUAGUGAUUGAAAAUAUGCUGCGAAGGACCCUUCGGCGAAGUUAGUCGGGAUCGCCGAUACAUUGGGCGAUCCGCCGUUUGGUUGAUUUCAUCGCCUUCCUACUUUAGCCUUUAGCCUUUUCGCAUUUUGAGUCGUUGGGCGAUACAGUACUGCUUCGCGGAACUGUUCGACGACACAUUGACUGCUCCAUUGCAUCGCCAACUUGUCAUUUUCCUUCAAGGCUCAGCGCACUGGAACAAAAGGCGAUCUCCAGGCCGAUAGGCGACUCGCCAACUGAGCUCGGCGAUCUUCAGGACUUUAUUUCUUCGUUCUUUUCAGCCGCCUUGUUCCUUCUUGCCAAGUAGUGUUCAUGCUUUGCCUCAAACUCUAAAUACCUUAAACUUAAAGGAUUUUUAUCAGAUAUUGAGACAAAAUAUGCAUUUGAUGACACAAAUUCUAUCAAAAUAUAGCCCUAAAUGAGUCCAAAUUGUGGACUCAUCAAUAUGGGGGAGAGUUUAGACAAUUCCUAGCCCCCAUAAACUAUGUAGCCACCGUGGGUAGAAAAGCGUCAUACUUUUUAGAUGAUUUCUUAGUGCUUUUUAGCAUAGACUAGUGGAUCCACUUAGUAGUUAGGUUUUAUACCCUCGACAAGGUAUAGGACGCCCCUGGCAGCGUAAGGCAAAAAGUUGUAUUGUAUCUUUGCAUACACACAAAGUAUUAUUGUAUUUCUAAAUACACAGAGUUGAUAUCCAUGAUUUAAAAGCUUUUCUUUAUUUUGCAUUUAUGUUAUUGCUUUAUAUUGAAAUGAGCUCAGUUGAGUUGAGUUAAGACCAGGUUUGUCCUUUCAGUUCCUUUCAAGCUUAUGUCUUGUUUUAGAAUUCCCCUCGCAUACUCAUACAUUCAGUGUACUGAUGUCAUUUGGACUGUAUCUUUUAAUGAUGCAGAUACAUGUAACCAGGAUCAGCAUCCAGCGCAUCGUUGAUUCUAGUUGAGCUCCAACGUUUGUUGGUGAACCUCCUUGCUUCUGGAGGAUCCUUUUUAUUGCUUUUUUUAGUAUUUAGUUCAUUAGGAUGUCGUGGGUCUUGUCCCAAAAUCUAUCUCAGUUAUUAGAGGCUUCAUAUAUAGACAUUUAGUUAGUUCAUUUGUCAUUAUCCUGUUAUUGGCUUAUGUUCAAAUUUGAUCAGUUGCCACUUUGGCUAAGUUAAAUGUUUAUUUCUAAAACAUUAUGAGUUUAGUUUGAGACUGUUGAGUUAUCUUGCAUUUGAAUUCUCUUCUUAAUACUUAAAGUAUUCCACUGAGUAAGUCAGGCCAAAGGUUCGCUUGGGGUCAGCAAUGGUUCUCGAGUGUCAGUCUCGCCCAGGGUGUAGGCUCGGUGAGUGACAAUAAUCUCGAUAACAGUGAAUUUGGAACUUAGAAUAAGAAAAGAAAGUACAAAUUAGAAUCAUAGAACUUAGGGUGCAACCAUAGAAUAUACUCUUAUUGACUGAAUUGGAUGUAGGGCGUGAUGACGAACUUAGUCCAGCACUAUGAAUAGUCUUACAUAAAUGAAAGAACAAUGUUCUUGGAGAAAUUUGAAAAAAAUCUUGGAAGAUGAAGUGUGGAGUAGAGUCUUGGAUUGAAAACAUCAGGUAUCUUGAAGAGAAUCUUAAACUCGGAGUCUUUAGAUCUUGCGAAAUUGGAGAAAUUUUUGUUUUGUUGUUGGAAUUUUUGAUCUUUAGAAAAAAAGAAUUAGAGAUUUUGAGAGUUACAAUAUGUAUGAUGAUGCUAUUAUGUUGUAAGAUGGAUUGAGGGAAGUUAUUGAGGGUAAAAGUUCAAGAAUACCCUUUUAGGAACAUAAGAAGACCAUAAAAAUAAAAGAAGAUGACUUUUUAUUAAUGAAUACCAUCGGCCAAAUCGGCAAUCUGAAGGUCCCAUCACCGAAAUAUUUAGUGGAUCACCAAAAGGGGCUUUAGAUCACCAAAAUAUCCAGAGAUUAAAGGUUUUCAAGACAUUUCAACGAGGUAAUUUAGUGAUUUGUCAAAUGAGCAGGUGUCCUUGCCGAAUUUUCUCAGCCCGAAUAUGUUUUAGUGAAACAACUAUAACUUUUUACUCCAAUCUUUAAUAGAUGCAAAAUUGAUGGAAUUGGAAAGAAAAUUCAUACAACUUUAAUUUGAUAUGUUAUAGGUCACCUAACAUAUUAUAUGUUGAGAGAUAUGAUCGUUUGAAGGUGAUCUUAAUAUGAACUCAUGCGAGAACUUAGCCAUUAGAAAUGCUUUGAACUUGACUUGGUUUUUGAGGUCCCUUAUGACCCUAGAUCACUUUCGAUACCCUUGAUACACUUGGUAAAUGACCUUAAAACACACGACCAAGUAGGACAUCAUCAUAUUCAAACUCAUAUACUUACGACCAGAGGCAGAUCUAGAAUUUGGAGGUCCUGGGUGCCACAUUGUUCAAGUAAGAUAAGCGGGUCGGUUGCUUUAAUUUUGGGUUACAAUUCGAGUUUUUUUUUUAUUUCUAUAAAUAAAUUGAUCAAACAUGCAUGUUAGUAAUAUUUUCUUUUAGAUAGUAUGCCAUUAGAGAUAACUAAACAAUCCAAUUUUUAUUUCUUUUUAGGAAUUAGUGACCUAUUCACUGAAUCUUUGAGGAAAAAAGAGUUUUUCACACUAAAAUUUGAGCUUGUAUAAACUACCUAAUAGUGUUAACUUAAUAUAUUCAUAUUUCAUUGACUUUAUGUGUUGUUGCAAAUAUAUAACAAAGAGAAUAAAUUUUUUAGUUUCAACCUAGUCAUCUUACUUAGCAAGAACGUCGGUGAAGAUCGAAAGAACCUUUAAAUUAAAAGAACUCUAGUAAUAAUAUCCAUCAUUUUUAAAACUUAUAUUUUUUUAAAACUACUAUUUAAAUAUAUUCUUAAUAAUAUUUAUGCCACAUUCAAAAUUCAGUACUCAUUAAUUGAUAAAGAACAAACACGCAACACUCAUAUCAAGAGAUUAAUAAUUAGUGAAAGAGAAAGUAAAAAUAUUUAAGAAUUAAUUGUGGUGAAUAGGAGUCAAUGUGAAUUAAUAAAGAAUACUAGUAAAUAAAUAAGAAUGAAUAGAAGAAAAAAAAGUCUUCACACAUUAAUGAAAAAGAUUUAAAAAAAAAAAAGGAAUGAAAGAAAGAAAAAGCUUCAAAACAUUAAUGUUGUUCCACGAGAGUCAAUUUGAAUUAAUAAAGAAUAAUAGUAAAUAAAUAAGAAUGAAUGGAAGAAAAAAAAGUCUUCACACAUUAAUGAAAAAGAUUAAAAAAAAAAAAGGAAAUGAAAGAAAGAAAAAGCUUCAAAAAAUUAAUGUUAUCCACGAGAUUCGAACACGCAACACUCCUAUCAAGAGAUUAAUAAUUAGUGAAAGAGAAAGUAAAAACAUUUAAGAAUUAAUUGUGGUGAAUAGGAGUCAAUUUGAAUUACUAAAGAAUACUAGUAAAUAAAUAAGAAUGAAUAGAAGAAAAAAAAAGGAAAGAAAGAAAGAAAAAGCUUCAAAAAUUAAUGAUGUCCACGAGAUUCAAAUCCGCGCUGCCCUUGUGUUCAAACUCACAACUCUAUCGUGGCAGAGCAUUACAUGACCCCUUUCUUACCACUAAGCCACCAGACAAUUUUGUUAGGAGGUUCACAAGUUAAUUUAUAUAUUUAUUUAUUUUUCUAAUACAAAUACAAGAUCUACGAAAAGGCUAUUGGAUUCGUCCGAACCCAUGAACCCCCGCUUAGUCGGCACAAUUUGUUCAUGCAUGAGAUCAUGUUAUUUUAUAUAUAUAAUGUUAUUAAGUUUUCGUGAAAAAACAGAACUAUCGAUUGGGAAAAUGUAAAAAUAUAAAUUGAAAUCAUAAAAAGACAGACAAUAUAUAUAUAUAGGAGAAAAACUUAUAUACUCCAUAUAGUUUAAUGAUUUAACUUGUUAUAGCGCAUCAUAUUGUAGUUGGGUGUAACGAAAGAAUUAUGACUUCAAUCGAAUUCAAAUGAGUCGUAGGAGCAUUUUAAUUGAUCUUGAACCAAUAACAUGUUCAAAUUCUAGAUCCUCCUCCGCGAGUAAUUCAAAUGAGUCGUAGUAAUUCUGUCUUACGUACUAAAACAGAAAUACGUUACGUUUUACAAUAAUAGUGCAUUUAAUUACUUAGACUGACGUACGUUUCUAAUUAAACUUUGCAUGCAUGCAUGCAUGCAUGCAGUGUGAAAGCAUAGAUGGAGUGGAGAAGAAGCUUACAGAAAUGGGGAUAGAGUACUUUAAACAGCUAGUUGAAGAAGGAGGGAUAUAUGUGGAUCAACUUUUUUUCCAUGAUCCAGAUGGAUUUAUCGUUGAAAUUUGCAAUUGUGAUAAACUUCCUAUCAUUCCACUUGUUGGGGGAGAUGGCUAGGUCUUGCUCCACACAUAAUCUUCACACAACAUCACAAAUGGAAUAUGUCCCACUCAAUUAUAUUCCUUAAACUAGAAGUUAAUUAGUGUUCCUUGGUUUAACACUUAUUCAGAAUUGUUGUUAUAAUAAAUUAAUUUGGCAAUUAUAUGUCGAAAUGUUCAAAUGGAUGAUAGUUUUGGUAGCUUUAUUGAUUUGAAAUGUGACCUGCCUGGAUUUAGGUACAUAAAUGUUAUAUAAGUACUUAAUUUAUAUCGGAGAUCGAAUGUUGACUAAAGUCAAUUCAAGUAUUUUGAACUUUAAAUUUUCAACCAACAACUUGAAUCACUCGUGAAUGCCUCUGGACCGAAUUAAUUAUGCAACUAAUUAAUUCAAAAGCCAUCUUUUGGAUCUAACGAAAUUGAUGAAAUUUCAUUUUAAUUCCGUUUACCUGAAACGUUGACUUGGAUCAAAACUUCUCAAUUUUCAGACCUUCAAAACUAAAAAAAUAUCACCCAAACUCAUUUGAUCACCUCGUAAAUUGUGUCACACAUCUGUACAGGUCACAACACCAAACAUAUAUAAGCUAUGAAAGAAGGUAAAACAUGGAAAUUACGCAAAAAUUACGAGACGAUCAAGAAGAUCAUUACAUGGGAUUCUCUUUUCAUGGAAAUAUAUUAUUGAAUUGGUUCCACUCAUAAGGGAUGAUAAGUAGGCAUUUACCUAUAUAUUAGUUUGUCUUUCUCAUAAACUCGUGGGUAAUAAUUGUUAUGACUGACCAUUAGACGUUCUUCCACCAAAGAAAAUGAACACUCCCAACGUUCUGCAAACCAUUUUUGCUGACAUUAAGCCUAAUGAGAAUGUGAGACAAAUUAAUAAAAAAUAUUAUUAAAAUGCUCAAAUUUAUAUAUUAACAAUUCCUCACGUUUUUAAAUAAUAAUUGGGAAUGCCCGUGCUCAAAACAACACGUGGUAUUUGAAUUCCUUGUCUAAUGUGAGGUUAUAAAUUGGAUAAAAGAUAAAAUAGAGAAAUAGUAUGAUCAGAUAUUGAUAAUACUUUUGGCUGUAUAAAUUUCUCAAGAUACGUCACUGGAUAAAUCUAACUAUGUUACUGUUUCAUAAUGCUGAGAAUAAAUAUUAGAUAGCUACUCGAAUUGACAGAAAAAUCCAUCUAAUUAGUGUUUGAUCUUCAUAGUUCUACAAGAAACUAAAAGAGAAUCAGGCACAAGUACCCUCCUAGACUAUUAUCGAAAUCUCAGAAACAUAUCUAAACUUAAUUAGGGCCCUAUUUAUUUUAACUUUUAAUUAGUUAUUACACAUAUUUAUUGAUAUUAAAACUUAUAUAUAUUUAUUUUAAUUUUUUUCUCAAUUUAAAAUUUUUAUUUUUUUCUUUGAUUAAUUUCUUAUCUUUUAAUUUUUAUUAACUAUGUUUAUUUUUUUUUAAAAUAAUUAAAAAGUGUCCUUUAAUUUAAUUGUUUUAUAUUUUAUUUGAUUUUCUUCACUUAUUUUGAUAUCCGUUUGAAAUUAAAUUAUUUUAAGUACAAGACAUUUGGAAUUAAAUUUGAAAUCAAAUCAAAAGGAAAGACAGAAAAUAAAAAGAGUAAAUAAAAUCAAUAGAAAAAUAAAAGAGAAAAAACAAUGAAUGAGGUAAAAAAAAAAAUUAGAUACAAGGGAAAAAAUAAGUGUAUUAACUUAAUUUAAAUACAAGAUGAACAAAAUAAGUUUUUCUUUAAAAAAAAUUAUAUUUUUUAACAAAAAGUAAGAAAAAUAUUAAUAUUAAAAAUAUUUACACACGUGGUAGGUGGGUGUGUACAAACACAGCCAACUUGGGUGGUUGAAGGUGUCAUGUCAGCACAAAAGGUGCACAAAAGCACUAAAAAAAUGAGUUCGGGGGGGGGGGGAGGUAGGGGUGUGCAAAAUCUGAACCGACCGAUAAAUUGAACCGAAAAAAGUGUUAUUGAUUUAUUGCUAUUGGGCUAUUGGGUUAACGAUUUCUUAAUGAUUUUUAUAAAAAAAUAUUAUCAGGUUAUCGGUUCGGUAUUGGUUUCCAAUAUUGGGUUAUUGGGUAAACCGAUAAUCCAUUAAGAGUUGAGACUAUAGUAAUUUACUACUUUUACAUAUACAUACAUAUUAGUAAAUAUUAAUCUCAAUAUCUUAAUAGUUAUGUCUUUGUCAUUUAACCAUCAAUUCAUACUUCGCUGUGACUUUGAGUUCACAACUUUACAUUAUACAAAUCGUCAAAACCUAAAGUAAGAACCAUAUUCCUCUUAAUUUCUCUUUGUGUUACACAUGUAUAGUUCUUUUCAUAUUUGUUAUUAUUAUUUCUAUUUUAUGAGCUUUUGUAAAGUUACAUUAUUGUCUUGUCGUGCCAAAUUUAUUAGAAAAGUCAUAUAUUUCUUUUAUAAGCAUUUUCUUAUUGGUUAAACAGAAAAUCGAACCGUUAAGGAAUAAAAUUGAUAAACCGAAAACCGAAUUUUUUUUAUCUUAUUGGUUCGUUAUUGGUUUAGAGUAUUUAAAAAUAAAAAACCGAUAAUACAUAAAACUGAACCGACCGAUGCACACCCCUAGGGGGGGAGGGGAGGGGUAAUAGGACCCUAUUUAAAUUUAGGGUGUCUCUGGAAUUUCGAUCAUAGUCUAGGAGAUUACUUGUGCCAUAUCCCAAACCAAAAUAAAAAUUACCCAUUAGCUUUAUUCCAUCAGCAUGCAAUGUACUUGGCAUGCGUAACCACACUAUCUUGCUAUGCCACUGCAUCAUCCCAUGCAAAUAUUCAGCCAACGACAUCUCCAUAUUUAGAACACAAUAUAAUUGUCAAAACAACUGAAAUGGUAAUAAGCAGAUGAACAAAAACAAAUCUUAACAAAUAAAAAUGAAAAAUAACAUCGUUUUCAAGGUUAAAAGUGAAAGUAACAUAAUAUAAUGAGAAACUAAUUUACAUAACUAUGGUUGAUCGAUUGUCAUGAUUGUUAAAUAAAUCAGCAUCUAGUGAGAAAACAAAGCUUAAAGUAACAAAUUUACUAAUGUAAGUUACUUGCUCUAGGUUAGUAUCACAAUCCAACUCUUUGGGCCAUGCAAGCGCCUACUUUAAUAAUUAGAUAUAUGUUGUUGUACAAUAUACAACUUAUGCAACCUCUCGUAACGAUUCAAGAACUCAAAAGUGUCCUCAUUUUCAGUACCAUGAAACUAUGAAGGCUUCAACUUCAAAAACAUAGUCAACAACUCAUGCUUAGUCUCGGUCAUAGCAGGGCCUAGUAUGGAAUGGAAGAACGCAUCAAUACCCGAAGCUUAAUCCAUUCAGGGAGCGUUGCUAGCAAUGGAAUGAGUGCUUGGAGCCUGAGUAGCCGACACAAUAGGAGUGGCUCCAGUUACGGCUAUCCCACUCAGGAUGGCUAACACUUGUUGAAUAACCUCAGAAGUUACAGGGGGGAAGGCCUACAACCCUAACUUGUGUCGCCAUAUCGGGUUCAACACCCUUCUUAAACUCUACCUCCACAUCCUCCUCAAUAUGAACCUGGGUAGGGGAGGGGUCGCUGGUCUCGGUCCAGGUGUUGGCCAAACUCCACCCCCGGCGGGUGUUACUCUCCACUUGGUCCUGCCGUUUCAUAUGCCUUUGCCCCUUCCUCACCCUUGCAUUGUUGGUUCUGCAACUGGAGUUGGUACUCUCACUCUGUUUCAUCUGGUGUCAAUCAUCUACGGAAUAAAGAAUUUAAAAAAUCAAAUAUAAAUUUGGAUCAUCAAAUACCAAUUGGAAAAUGUUGAACAAUAAAAAGGAAGUAAUAGUCAAAGAUUUCAAACAAGUUUCAUAAUAUAAAAGUCAUUAUCACCAAACAUUUGCGGAAGAAAUCCCCCUGAAAAUUGAAAGUCGUGUGCCAAAACAUUUAUGUAGUCUAGAGUAUGGGGAUGCAACCCCAAAACAUAAAUAGUCUAAGUCCAAAAUAUGGAUCAGAGGGGAAAAGAGGAAUCCAUAGCGGCUUGAAAAAAAUAGCCCAUUAUUUGGAUUCAAGAAGUGCAAGAGCCAUAAUUGAGGUCAUGAAGCAACCAUCGAAAUAUGCCCUUUCUUAACAAAGAAAGAGCAAGUGCAGUAUCAGUACACAAAAUCCACAUUGUAUUGGUAAAAUCAUUGGCCAACUCUAGUUAUACUAAAUAUGAAUAAGUAAUCACAACUUAGUGAAAUAGAUAACGUAAGUAAUAACAUGAUAAUAACAUUACAACAAGCCAUUUCGGCUCACUCAUGGAACCUACAUACACAACAAUUAAUGUACCAACUACCAAGUGUGGUACCCUAGUCAGCCAUUAUUAUUUAUUAUCGGCGUGGUACCCAAAUCAAUCAUAUAAAUAUCCCGUACCAGUCAAGGUGCCCAAGCUAAUAAAAAAUAUACCACGUGGUACUCGAGCCAACCAAGAGAUAUCAUGAAUCAGACGUGUUACUAGCUCAAAUCAAUCAUUAAUAUGUACCAUGCAUGGUACCUGCGACAACUAGCAAUCACACAUCACAACGAAUAAAAAUCACACUUGUCAUACAUUAUAUAGAAAAUACUGGUGAAGCAGUUACCAAGCACAAAUCACAUAAACUAAAAAUAAACAACCAUCACCUACCUCAAAUUAAGCCCAGAAUGCUCUAUUGAACCUGAACUUUUCCCUUGUUAUGAUGCCUAACUAGUUCUUGAUCUAAAAAUAAUAAAUAUAACACAUAAUCAGAUCCAAAUGACCUAGAAACACCCGAAUUAUAUCCUAAUCCCAACCCCGGGUCAUUCUCAUGAUUAUCCCACCCAAAUAAGGGUUUUCCACCACUAAAUUAAAUGAAACCCUCCCCUAAGAUCACCACCAUAGAUUCUAAGGCUCUAGAACCGAAUUACUAAGUUAAGGGAGUAAUUUACUUACCUUUACGGAUGAUUAUGAUGAAAAAUGGAUGAAAUUCACCCAAGUCGCUUAUGCUCUUCCCCAAAACAUAAUUGCCAAAUAAUGAGCAAUUUUGGGAGAUUUUUUUCCAUUAACCGUGACUAACCCCACUAUAGAGGUCCAAUUCAGCUAUGGCGACAGUGGUGCAGUGGGCUCUGAGAAAUUGUGAAACACAAGCAGUAUAAGCUCAAAGUUGAGCAACAAUGGAAGUAACAAUGGAAGCUUCUAGUAAGAACAGGGGAGAAAAUUGAUAUGUGGAAAAUGAAGCUUAGCCAUUGUAUUGAUCAAUGUAGUAUUUAUAUACAUCAGAAAUAAAAGUGGAAAGCAUCUAAUCUAACUGCACAGUGAAAUAACUAACUCUGACAGACUAACUACCUAACUAAUUGUGUAACUAAUUAUAUUGUGUACCUAAUUAUUCACAUUACAAUAUAAUGUUUAAUACCCCCACUCAAGUUGGAGGUGGAGACAACACUGCCAACUUGUCAAGGAUGGAGGAGUGUUUAAUUCCUGUCAAAGCUUUAGUCAGUAUAUCAGCCAGCUGAUCCUGUGUAGCAAUGUGAUGUAAAGAAAUAAGUCCUUGCUGUAGAACAUCCCUCACAUAAUGACAGUCGACUUCGAUGUGUUUGGUUCGUUCAUGAAAAACAAGAUUUCGUGCUAUAUGUAUUGCGGAUUGAAUGUCACAGAAGACAGAAAUAGGUUUGGAAAAAGGGACAACUAACUCAGCAAAUAACCUACUCAGCCAUACCAGUUCCCCGACCAACUUCCUGAGGGAUCUAUAUUCAGCCUCUGCAGAUGACAAUGAAAUAGUUUCUUGUUUCUUGGAUUUCCAGCUUAGUGGACUACCUCCAAUCAAUACUAGGAACCCACUAACAGACUUCCGAGAGUCUGGGCAGGAUGCCCAAUCUGAAUCACAGUAUCCUCUGAUAGUGAAGUCGGCAUUCUUAGAUAAAAACAAACCCAGUGUAGGGUCAUUCUUCAAGUAUCUCAAGAGGUGAAAAGCAGCCUGUAAAUGUGGUUCCCUGGGAUCUUGCAUGAACUGGCUUAGAUGUUGUACACUGAAAACAAUGUCCAGCCUGGUGUUAGUGAGGAAAUUAAGCUUCCCAACAAGUUUUCUAUAAUAAGUAGCAUCAUUCAGAACUGGUCCUUCUUUGUAGGGCUGGGCAUUCGGUUAUUCGGUUCGGUUUCGGGUUUUUUUUUCGGUUUUUUCGAUUUUCAGUUUUUGUAAAACGUGUACCGAACACCGAACCGAAUUAUUUCGGUUCGGUUUGGUUUAUGUUAUUUUGGUUCAGUUUUUGUUAGUUCGGUUUUUUUGUUAUGGGCCUGCUUAGUGGGCUUUUAAAAUUAUACAUUUUUUUUGUUUGAUUUUUCAAUUUAAUGGGCUAAAAAUAGUUACAUUGCUAUGUCAUAUCAGCUGCAAUAUUCUGUAUAAUGCCCUAUAGCUGAAAGCUGAAAAAUGUAUAUUUCACACUUGUACCACUGCUACUAUAAACGAUAUAUUAUUACAUAUAUAUGUACCACUGCUGUUAUAAACUAAUGCAAGCUGUAAAAUGCAAGUUGUCCCUAAAGAAGUAUACUUGCAGUUGUAUAAUGCAAACUGUCCCUAAAUUAAUUGGACAUUUAUUUUGACUAACAACAAAAAGCUCACCUCAAAAGUCAAAAUUGUCAUACUGCCAAAGUUUUUAAUUAACAAAAGUGCAUUGUACUAACAAGCAACAAUUUAACAAAGUGAUAAAACUUCACUACACUUCACAAAUACAAUGAUCAAUUGAUCAUGCCAUUACACCACAACAUAAUAAUAAUUUAACAAGUAACAAUAAUGCACCAAUGUAGUUUCUUUCAUGAGACCACUUUCAAGUUUCAAGUGCCAACAAUAACAAACAACAAUAAUGAGCAACAAACAAUGUAGCUUCUUGCCUUCUUCCAUGAGAUCACUUUCAAAUGUCAACAAUAACAAAUAACAAAAAAUAGAGCAACAAUGUAGUUUCUUGACUUUCUUCCAUGAGACCACUUUCAAGUCUCAAGUGCCAACAAAAAUACUAACAAAACUUAGUACUUUACGUCUUUCUUCAUUGUCUUGACUCUUGGACCUUUUAAGAUAAAAUCAAAUGUUAGAAUACUACUUUUAAGAUUAAAAAAUGAUAUGAUUAAAAUAAAUGAUGUAUUGAACUCACCACUAUUAUAUACUUGUACUUGCAAGUCAAUCAUAGAUCAACAAUGGAAGAGUUUCUUCCACUAUUUGCCAUCUCUAUAGAUAAGAAAAUCAAAUAUGUCAUACAACACAAUAAGUAUUUUAUUUUUCAAAAACAAAUAAAAAAAUAAAAAAUCUUACCAAGUUCAAUUUUUUCAAGAAACUUCAAACUUUCUUCAACACAAAUAAGCUUAGUUUCUUGUCUAAGCCAAUCUUGGACACAAAUAAGGCAUUGCACACAUUUGGGAGUCAAUGAACUUCUAAAGGGAUCGAGAAUACGACCACCGGUGCUAAAUGCACAUUCUGAUGCCACACUCGACAUAGGAAUAGCCAAUACAUCUCGAGCCAACUGUGAAAGUACAGGAAAUCUAGGAGAAUUAACUUUCCACCAAAUCAAAAUAUAAAAAUCCUCAAAUUCAGGCUCUUGGUCUUCAAGAAGAUAUCUAUCCAACUCAGAUUUAACACCUAAACUUCCAGAAUCUUCCUUUUGUUUCUUCAUGUAAAACUUAGUUCUCAAAGAAUUUGUUUUCACAUUUUGAGAAAAACCACAAGUAGAAGAAUCAGAUAAGUCAGAUGAAGAUGAUUGAUUUUUAGAACCUUUUGCGUACUUACUUACAUAGAUCGCAAAUAAUUUUUUCAAGUAAGCUUCUACUUCAUUAUUCACUAUCUUUCCUUUUUCUUCCCCAAGUAAUUCUUUAAGAGCAAAACUAACAUACACAAAUUUAUUGCGAGGAUCCAAAACAGAAGCAAUAAAAAGCAUUUUGUUCAUCUUCUCAGGAGUACCCCAAUAUUUCUUGAACUUCUCUUUCAUCCCCGAAGCCAUUUUACUCAAAUCAACUUCAUCACUUGCCAUACAUACUUUCAAAUAUGCAUCAAGCUCACAUAUAUCCUCAAAAUGAACAUUACAAGUAACAUACCGUGAACCUGAAACUUUCAAUGUGAGCUCAUAAAAUUUUUCAAGAAAUUUUGUGACAUUCCUCACAUUAAUCCAAUCCUCAUUUUGAAUUGAACCUGCAAUACUUCCAUCUUCACAAACAUCAGUAGCAAGAAAAGAAUUAAAAUUACCAUCAUAAAGAUCAAACCUUUCAAAAGCUUUCUCAAACUUUUUUGCCGUGUCCAACAUCAAAUAGGUGGAAUUCUGAAACGACCCCAAAAAUGCCCGAAAAUGUGCUUUGGAAACACCUAAAAUUGUAAUUUCCAUAUAUCUCAAAAUCCGUGCAUGAUUUCGGAAAUUCGACUUCAUAUUCUUAUUCAGGGGGUCAAAUUGAGUGGGAAAUGAGUCUAACCCGAAUUUUAGAACAACCGUAUCAAAAUUCGAAAAUCGCAAAAAAAUGCGAUUUUGAGGGUCAACUUUAAAGGGGCAUAUCUCUCAGCACACAAGGAACUGGAAGGAGCUCAAACUAUCAAAAUUAAACCUUUGUGAGUUAGCUUUCCAACGCAAUUUGUUUCACCUCAUUCCGAGUUAGGAUGAAGGAGUUAUGACCAUUUUCGUAAAACCUCACCGGCAGAAAAGUGCCAUUUCCAGUAAGCCGAAACACUGUUCACCCGCCCCAUUAUUUUUUCUAAGUGUUGGACAAUUUUUUUCCCAAAGGGCAUAUGAUAUUCCAUAUAUAUCAUUAGUUCAUUCCAAGUCUCUAAAACAUUUCUCAAACAUCCAAAAACUCUCUCUAAACCCUCUCCAAAAAAUUCCACCAAGAUCAUCAACCAAAUUCAAGGAUCCCAAGCUUUAAUUCCGGAUUCAAGAUUCAAUCUCAAGCAAUUCUCCAUUCCAAUCUUCAUCAAGAAUUCUCCAAAGUUGAGGUAUGUGGGUUGAUUGUGGAAACCUUCCUUUCCACAAGUCCAACCAUUUAUCCUCUAUUUUACUUCAAGUUUAUGGGUCCUUAUGAUCAUUUAUGAACUCUUGAAUUAUGGAAUUAUUACUACACAUCCUAUUAUGGUCUAUUUUUGUAUAUUAUCAUGAAAUGGAAUGAUUAUAUGAUGUUUAUGGUUUUCAUGCCUCAAUGAUCAAAUUAUGAAGGUUGUUAUAUAUGUAUAUAUAUAUGUAUGUUGUUGGUGGGCUGUUUUAUAUGGAUUUUGAAAUUGGUUGGACUUAGUACUCUUGAAACACAUGAUUUUAUUUACAUGAACAAGUAGCCCACCAUAUGUUUGAUAAAAUGCCAUUUAUAGAAUUCUUAUGAAAUGGAAGGUCCAAUGUACGUCCUAUGAGUCGGAUGAUUAUAUAAGUAUUGAAAUGAUGAUGAAAUGGAUACAUGUAUAUGAUUUUCUCUAUAUAGUAUGUGAGUUGACCAAGCCUAGUACGGGGGGUAGUAGGCCCGUAUAACCGUAUCGAGGGGUUGGUACCUUGGUUGCCUAGUACGGGGGGUAGUAGGCCCGUAUAACCGUAUCGAGGGGUUGGUACCUUGGUUGCCUAGUACGGGGGGUAGUAGGCCCGUAUAACCGUAUCGAGGGGUUGGUACCUUGGUUGCCUAGUACGGGGGGUAGUAGGCCCGUAUAACCGUAUCGAGGGGUUGGUACCUUGGUUGCCUAGUACGGGGGGUAGUAGGCCCGUAUAACCGUAUCGAGGGGUUGGUACCUUGGUUGCCUAGUACGGGGGGUAGUAGGCCCGUAUAACCGUAUCGAGGGGUUGGUACCUUGGUUGCCUAGUACGGGGGGUAGUAGGCCCGUUUUUCUAUCUUUUGCAUUUCAACACAUUUCAAGAAAUUUCUUGUCCUUGUAGAAGAUGAUCUAACAUAUUUCACCAUUUGUCUCACCCGUUUGAUAGAAGGAUAAAUUUCUUUCAAACCAUCUUGCACAAUUAAAUUAAGUAUGUGAGCCAUACAUCUCACAUGAAGAUGCUUACCAUCCAUCAUAUUAGUUCCCCACAGAUCUAAUUUUUUGGACAACUCUAAAACCGCCACAUCAUUUGAAGAGGCAUUAUCAACUGUAACAGUAAAGACAUUGUCCAAAUUUCAAUCAAGUAAACAAUUACUAAUACACUCAGCCAAAUGCUCACCUUUAUGACUAGUGAUAGGACAAAAAUUCAAUAUUCUUUUAUGAAGCACCCAGUCCCUAUCAAUAAAGUGAGCAGUCAAACACAUAUAAUUGAUUCUUUGCACCGAAGUCCAUGUGUCUGUUGUGAGACAAAUUCUUGGUUGUAUUUCUCUAAAAGACUUUUUCAAAUCUAUUCUCAAUUCACCAUAAACUUCAUAAGAAUCCCUUGUUAUGGUUCUAUGAGAAGGAAUCCGAAACAAAGGUUGGACUUUACUCAUAAACUUCUUAAAGCCUUCUUUUUCAACAAAACUAAAAGGUAGUUCAUCCAAAAUUAUCAUCUCAACUAAAGCUCUCCUAGCUACCUCUUGCUCAAACUUCCAAGUCUCUAACGAAGAACUGUUACUUUGAAUAUUUAACAAUUUUUGAAUACCAGGUGCAACAGGCGGGGGCUUUUACACUUUACAUCGGCUAGUCAAAUGUUGUCUCAGUCCACUUGUUCCAUUUCUGGUUGUAUUAGCAGCAUAGUAUUGUUUACAAUAUAAACACUUUGCUUUAACUAAUAUAUCAUUUUCAAAUAUUUUUUCAAAGUGUUGCCAAACAGUAGAUCUAGGAUCCAUUUCUUUUCUUUUUUUUGUUUCCUCUGUGCCAAUUGACGCAUCAUUGCUAUUAGUAGGUGUAUUAUUCGUAGAACCAGCCAUACUUAUUCGACUUUGAUCAGCCACACCCACAUUUAAUUGAUUUUGUUCAGCCAUCUAUAUAAAAAAAUAAUUAUUUCACAAUGAAUUCACAAACUAACUAAGUAACUAGUAACAACUAACAAAAGCAAAAAUCAAAAAGAAAAAUGAAUGGAAAUAUUGACAAUACCUGAUGCACCUUAAAAUGAAACUUUGCAACUUAAAAUGAAUGAAGAAAUAUUGACAAUACCUGAUGGUGGUCGCUGCCUCGCCGGUCGCUGGUGGUCGUCGGCUGCUGCGUGAUGUUGGUCGGCGGUUGCUGGCUUGUUGCCGGUCGCCGGAAGACGUGCAAAGAACAGUGGAAUCAAAAAGUGUGGCUGCCCUGCUAUUCUGCUAAGUGCUAAGUGCUAAGAGAAUAGAAAAGUAAAAGGUAAUGUUUGACCAAUUGACCUAAUUGAUUUUUGCUUAUUUAUUAUUUGUUAUUAAUAAAAUAUUAAUAAUAUUAUAAAUAUAAUAUAAUAUAUUUCGGUAAACUGAAAUACCGAAUAGUACAAAAUCAAAUACCGAAAACCGAACCGAAAUACCAAAAAAUACGAAAACAUAUACCGAAUACCGAACCGAAAACCGAAAUACCGAAACCGAAAUACCGAAAUAAUUCGGUUCGGUUCGGUGUUUCGGUUUCUCGGUGUUUAUGCCCACCCGUACUUCUUUGGCUCUCAUCUUAGCAUUGGGAUCAAGAGGAGAGGCCAAAGAACUUAAGUGCAAGCAGUCAUAUUCCCUCAACAUGUCCAAAACAAACUUUCUUUGUGAAAUAAUGACUCCAUGUGGUGUGUGAAGAACUUCCAAUCCUAGAAAAUAGUGUAACAACCCCAAAUCCUUAAUCUUGAAUCUGUUAUGUAGGUAGAUUUUCAAGUCUGCUAUUUCAGCAGCAUCAGUACCUGUAAGAACUAUAUCAUCUACAUAGACUGCGACAUAAACUGUUGAACUCUCUUUUCUUUUAUAGAAGAGAGAAUAAUCAUGCAUUGAGUGAGUAUAUCCUCUAGAAUAUAAAGCUUCAGUAAGCUUAGCAUACCAUUGCCUACUAGCUUGUUUGAGCCCAUAAAGGGACUUCUUCAGUUUACACACCAAGGUAGGAUCUGGAGUUACAAGUCCAGGUGGUAUGUCCAUAUAGACUUCUUCAUUCAAAUCUCCAUGAAGAAAUGCAUUGUUUAUGUCUAAUUGAUACAUAGUCCUCCCUUGUUUAACUGUUGUAAUCAACAAAGCUCUAACUGUGGUCAUUUUCACCACAUGAGAGAAACUUUCAGUAUAGUCAAUGUCUGCUUGUUGUGUGUAACCUUUGACAACAAGUCUGGCCUUUAGUCUUUCAAUACUACCAUCUGCAUUGUGUUUAAUCUUGUAGACCCAUUUACAGCCUAUGGCUUUCUUUCCAUUAGGAAGUGGAACCAAAUCCCAAAGUAUUAUUAGAGUGCAAAGCAUCAAAUUCUUGUGUCAUGGCAACCUGCCAUGCAGGGUCAACAACAGCCUCCUCAUAUGAAAUUGGUUCCCUGUCAAGGCAAACAUUUCUGACAAAAUCUUGACUAUUAGGAAUUAGAGCACUGUGAGCCAUGUGUUGGUGAUUGGAGAAAAGAGCAUUAAGAGUAGUGGUAGUGUUGGUGGGGGAUGGCUUUAGUUGUGGCAUGGAACAAAUGUAAUCAGUCAUAUAUGUUGGAGGCUUGUGACACCUAGUGGAUCUUCUAGGUGCUUGGUGGGGGACAACAGUGGAUGGAUGAACUGGUAAUGAAGGUGAGGUUAAUGGAACUGGAACUAUAAGAUCAGGUGAGCUAUUGAAAGAAACAUUAGAACUGUCAGAUGCAGUCUGAGUAUCUUGUGUGCCAUGCUUAUCAGAAUUGUCCAAAACAUCAAUAAAACAAGGAAAUUGUAAACAAGAAAUUGGUGGAGUAGGGGUAGAGGGAUUAUGAAAAGGAAAAAUAUUCUCAUGAAAAAUGACAUCUCUAGAAACAUGUAUUCUUUUUGUGGACAUAUUUAGAACUUUGUACCCUUUUGUCUCAUAGGGAUAUCCAACAAAGAUGUGUGGGUUAGUUCUUGGUUCAAAUUUAGCUCUGUGAGGUAUAGGAACUGUAGGAUAACAAAGGCAACCAAAGCUUCUUUUUGUAGAGGAUUUCAUAUGGACAUGCAUUGUUUAAUACAACAGAGGGAAGCCUGUUGAUAAUGUAUGUUGCACAUAGAAGACAUUCUCCCCAAUAUUGAACAGGAAGUUUAGAUUGGAAAAAUAGUGCUCUAGCAGUCUCAAGUAAGUGUUUGUGUUUUCUUUCUACCAUGCCAUUUUGUUGUGGUGUGUAAGGGUAGGUUUUCUGGUGGAGGAUUCCUUUUGUCUGAAAAAACAUUGUUGUUUCAGCAUUUUACAAAUUCCAGACCAUUGUCUGUUCUGAUUGCUUUAACAGUGGUUUUAAAUUGGGUUUCUAUUAUGGUAAGGAAGGCUUUUAAGGUUUGGAAUGCAUUGCUUUUAGAGCUGAUUAACUGAGUCCAUGUGGACCUGCUAAAAUCAUCUACAAUGGUGAUGAAAUAUUUGAAAUGAUUGUAUGUGGCUGUGUGAUAUGGUCCCCACAAAUCAACAUGAAGUAGUUCAAAAAUAUGUGAGGUGAAUGUGGUUCUGGGUUGGAAUGGUAAUCUUUCUUGUCUUGCCAUGGGACAAAUGGAACACAUAAAAGGUUGUUUAGAGGAGAAUUUGACAGGAAUACUGGAAAUACCCUUCAUUUUGACAAAAGGAACCUGUCCCAAUCUAUUAUGCCACAUAAUGUCCACAUUGUUUCUAUUACAUGUAUGAGAAUUAAAACCACAAGAAUGGAAAGGGACAUCAACUGAAGAAUGUUUAACAGCUAAACAAGGUUCUCUUUUAUUGACAGAACUAGUACAUUGUUUAUGGGAAGAAGAAUUGACACUACAAACAUUACAAGUACUAGAUGAAAGUGAACUAUAUGUAGGAGAAAUAGAAGAUUUCUGCAGGCAAUUUGGACAUAAGAAGUAGAGACCAUCAUCAGCAUUACCAAGCACCAGAGGCCUCUUCAUUGAAGGGGCCUGCAUGAAACAUAAGAUUUUGUCAAAACUGAUGGUACAAUUUGAAUGCGUAGUUAGGGUGUGAAUGGAGAUCAAAUUAUACUUGAAAGAUGGCACAAACAAGACCUUUUGUAGACUGAUCAUAGGUCCUAAUGUUACAUUCCCAAUCUGAGUCACUUUAACCUUAUAGCCAUUAGGUAGCGCAAUCAACAUUAGGUAGGGCAGUAAGGUAAUAUUAUGCAAGAGGGAUCUAUUAAAAGUCAUGUGAUGUGAAGCUCCAGAGUCUAAAAUCCAUAAGUCAGAUCUAUUUACGAAACAUUUGCAUGACAGUUUAUAAAAAUAAUAGAGGAAGUGCAUAUUGUGAUACCUGCAAAAUCAGUUUGUCCAUUUGCAAGAGCUGAGUUUGUAGUGGAUCCUUCAUUCUUAUUCUCUGUAUGAAAUUGCUGAAGCAUACUUUGAACAUGACCAUAUUGGUCUUUGGUGAGACUCAUAUUGUAUAGUUCCUCAUGUUGAUCCAUUAAUGGUCCAUUUCCAGGAGCUGAAUCAUGUGUACAAUGAGCAUUUGCUACUGGCCUAUUUCCAGACCCUCUAGGAUAUCUGUGUGGAUUAGUGUUUUGAGAAGGCUUGGGGGGUCGAAAAUUAUUUGGUCUUGGAGCAGGGUUGUUAUAGGGAUAAGUUUUCUGAUUUGGAUUGUCAUUGUUUGAAGUAGGACCAGAAGAAAAACCAGAUGGAUACCUAUGGAGUUGAUAGCAUUUCUCCAUGAGGUGUCCAGUCCUCCUACAAUAGUUGCAGAAUCUGUCUUUGUAUGGAAUUUGAGAACCAUUUCGUGGGUGAUUGGAUGAGAAAUUUGUUUGUAAGGCUGAGAGGGCUUACCAGAUCCAACAUGUAAAGCAAUCGAAUCCACAUUGAAGUGAUUUGAAGGUUUGAUUUCCCUCUGUUGUUCAUCCUGAACUAACAAUGAGAAAUCUUGUGCCAUAUUAGGAAGUGGGUUCAUCAUGAGUAUGCUACCACGAAUUACAGUAUAGAUCUCAUUUAGGCCCAUGAGAAAUUGAAUCAAACGCCUAUCUUGCUCAGCCUUGUGAGCAAGAGCCUUAGCUCCACAGUUACAGGCACAAUUGCAAUGCGCAGUGACAUUCAAAGUACUGAGUUCCUCCCAGAGCUUCUUCAACAUGGUGUAAUACCCUGUGAUGUCAAGAGAUCCUUGAGACAGAUCAUUAAUUUCCCUCUGAAUUUGGUACAGCUUUGCACCAUUCGGUUGUUCAUAAUGAUCUUCUAGCUCCCUCUAGAGUUCAGCAGAACUCAUAACAAACUCAACACUAUCAGCAAUAUCCUUCGACAGCGAAUUUAGAAUCCAAGAUGUAACAAUGUCGUCACAUCGUUCCCAUUGUCGAUACGAAGGAUGAUCAGAUUGGGGUCGUUGACAAUCUCCAUUAAUGAAGCCUAACUUGUUUUUAACAGAUAAUGAUCGCAAUACACUGCGUCUCCAUGAUCGAUACCCAAUUCCUAUGAACUGCACAGGUACAAGCAUAGCUCCGGGAUUAUCAGAGGGAUGCAUGUAGAGAGGACUAUUGGAGUCAAUCGAGAAACUAGUGGAACCUCCAGUAGAACCACUAGGCAGAUCGGAAUUAUCAGCCAUAGAUCCAAGUAGAAACAGAGAAUUUCGCAGCAAACAAAACGAACAAUCGAAACAGAAGGUGAAAUCUCAGAAUCGAGAAGGCUCUGAUACCAUGAGAAAUUGUGAAACAUAAGCAGUAUAAGCUUGAAGUUGAGCAACAAUGGAAGUAACAACGGAAGCUUCUAGUAAGAACAGGGGAGAAAAUUGAUAUGUGGAAAAUGAAGCUUAGCCAUUGUAUUGAUCAAUGUAGUAUUUAUAUACAUCAGAAAUAAAAGUGGAAAGCAUCUAAUCUAACUGCACAGUGGAACAACUAACUCUGACAGACUAACUACCUAACUAAUUGUGUAACUAAUUAUAUUGUGUAACUAAUUAUUCACAUUACAAUAUAAUGUUUAAUAGGCUCUCACGCUAUAACAUGAAUUAAAUUCACCGUUAUAGCAGCGUGUCACCCGUUAUAGAGGCUUGCACGGGAUAGAAACUCAAAAAUCCUCUAAAAUAGUCUAUUUCGUAACACACCUUCAAACCUUGAUGUUCCAAACCAAUUCUUUCACGCCAAGUUCGAUAUCGAGAGUUCUAUUCGCCCAAAUUUACUUCCGAAAAGUUUUACGAACUCCUUAACGUCUUAGAACCAAGAAAAUUAGACUUUACCUAGACAUUUCCUCCAAUCCUUUUCCCAAAUUUCCCUAGACCUUGCCUCACUCAGAUUUCAUCUAGGCUUACCCUAACCUGAAAUUUUAACUCACUACUCCAAAAGUUUCUCACUCAUUAACAACGAGGGAAGUCGUUACAAUAACUAAAUUAGAAUUUGAAUUUUUAGACAGCCAGAUAUAUGUGAUCAAUCAUAAGUGACAUAACUUUUUAAAAUUACAAAAAAAGUUUGAUUUAGUUUUAGGUUGAAAAUGUUUUUAGACCGACAGAGGAAUGCAGAAUAUCUAUGAGUGAUUUUCUAUAUGUUAAUGAUAUUUUUAUCUCUUUUUUCGUUGAUUUAAUGAUAAAUUUUAUCUAUAUUUAAAAUUAGGACGGAUCCACGUGAGAAUCGAUGGUGUUCAAAACACCAUUGACUGUGACGUAGAUUCUCUAAUUUGUACAGACAAUUAGCAAGUACUACACUAUAAUUAACAAAAAAAUAAAAGUAUGACAAGUUGUUUUAAGAAAUUAUUAAAGAUAGAGAGUUGAUAAUAUAUAUUCAAUGUAUCGGUAAUGUUUUAUUUUGAUAUUUACUUUACUUGAUUGAAAUGGUGCAUCGUAUAUAAAAAAGAUGUUCAUUUUGGUCCUUCAUAUGUUUCAUUUGAUUGAAAUGAUCUUUAAUGUAUAACAACAUGUGUUCAGUUUGGUCCUUUAACCUAAACCUAACAUAUUUAUACAAAAAAUAGUCUCAGAUUUGACUAUGGAUCCUACAUGGCUAACAAAAUUCACCAUUAUUGUCUUCUUUGUUAUCUCCAACUAAAGGUUGGUUUAUGAUGCCUACUCAAUACGUGUGGUGUAUUUAUACUAUUAUAAUUAUACCUUUUGGUGGUGUAAGUAGGUUUGUUUUAGGUUGAUUGAAGUGUGAGAUGACAGUUAUUCAUCAACUUCUACAUACUUUGUCCUCAAGUAAGAGUUGGGUUGAUCUCUUGUGUAUUUUAUUUAUCUUCUGCCCGUACUUUAUUAAAAACUCUUGUACCGAUAUAGACUAGGUCCUAGAAAGUUGUUAAGAUUUUGUAAUGUUGAGUGAUUUUUUCUUAUUGUGUUUUGUCAACCCAGAUUCAACUCUUUAAAGAAAAUUUUCAAUUUAAUUAAGAAUGUAUGGUAAGAAUUCUCCUAUUUAAUUAAAAAUAGAGCAGGUUUUCGUAUGAUCCGGUAAUUUAAAUUGUGACAAAGUGUACGUGGAUUCUCCGACUUGUAUAGACAAUUCGCAAGUACAAUACUCCAUAAUUAACAAAAGAAAUGAAACUUUCGCAAGUUGUUUCAAAAUAAUUAUUAAAAAUAAAAAUUUUAAGAUAAAAGAUUUGAUAAUAUCCACCACCUUGUGAAAUAGAUCCUACUAAGCCAAAAUCUCAGAAAAAACAAAAAAAUUAAUGAAGUAAUUUUCCAUUAUAUGACUGUAAUUAAUUCACAACAGAUUUUCUCUAACCAAAAGUCAAAGAAAAUUAAAAGUAAAGUACAUCCCAAAUAAAAAAAAUCAAAAAUUCCAUUUUUUCAAACAACAAAAAUUCCAUUUUAUGUAGUGCAAAAAUCUAGAGAUGUACUAUGAUUGAUCAAGGUUUUCUAUUAUUUGAUAACCAGAAAUAUCAAAAUGGAGAUUUUUAAUAUUUAAAAUAAAUAUAAAUUACAUGAAUUAAUUCCUUAAGUACAUCAAUUAACGACACUUAUUGAGUAGUGAUCUGAAUUCAUUCCAAUAGUCCAUAAAAAGAGUUAAUAAUCAAUAGAAAAUAAAAAAGAAAAAAUAAUGAAUGAAGGUAAAAGAAAUUUAAGAUACAAGGCAAAAACAAUAUGCGUAUUAAAUUGAUUUAAAUACAAGAUAAAUAAAUUAAGAAUAUUUUUUUAAAAAAGUUUAUUAAAAAAAUAUUUGUUUUAACAAAACGUAAGAAAAAAAUAAUAAAAUAAUAUUUACACACGUGACAAGCGGGUGUGUACAAACACAACCAACUUUGGUGGUUGAAGGUACCAUAUCAGCACAAAAAUACGAAAAAAAAGAGUUCCGGGGUGGGCUAAGAUUUCGGUCAUAACUUAAUACCAUCAAGAUUCAAUGUACUUGGCAUGAGUAACCACGCUAUCUUGCUAUGCCACUGCAACAUUCCAUGCAAAUAUUCGGUCAAUGACAUCUCCAUCUUUAGAAGACAAUGUAGUUGUCAAAACAACUGAAUGGUAUUAUGCAGAUGAACAAAAAAAAAUCUUAACAAAUAAAAAUGAAAAAUAACACCGUCAAGGUUAGACGCCUACUCUAUCACUUAGAUAUAUGUUGUUGUACAAUAUCCACCUUAUGCAAUCUCUCGUAGCGAUUCAAAAAAUCAAAAACAUCCUCAUUUUCAGUACCAUGAAACUAUGAAGGCUUCAACUUCAAAAACAUAGUCAAUACUCUUGCUUAGUCUCGGUCAUAACAGGAUCUAGUGUGGAAUGGAAGAACGCAUCAAUACCCGAAGCUUCAUCCAUUCUUGGAGCAGUGCUAGCAGCGGAAUGAGAGUCUGGAGCCUGAGUAGCCGACACAGUAGGAGUGGCUCCAGUAAUCGCUAUCGCACUCGGGAUGGUUAACACUUGCUGAAUAACCUCAGAAGUCAUAGGGGGAAGGCCUACACCCUAACUUGUGUCGCCAUCUCGGGUUCAACACCCUUCUUAAACUCUACCUCCAUAUCAUCAUCAAUAUGAACUUGUGUAAGGGAGAGGGAGGGGUCGCUGUUCUCGGCCCAGCCGUUGCCCAAGCUCCACCCCUGGUGGGUGUUGCUCUCCAUCCGGUCUUGCCCCUUUCAUAUGCCUUUGCCCCUUCUUCACCCUCGCAUUGUUGGUUCUGCAACUGGAGCUGGUACUCUCAUUUUGUUUCAUCUAGUGUCAUCCAUCUAAGAAAAAAAGAAUUAAAAAGUCAAAUAUCAAUUGAAAUCAAGUUAUAACAUUAAGAAAUAAAGAAGAGAAAAAUAUCCUAAAGUCUAAUAUAGCUUCGUGAAGAAAAGUAUAGAAGUUUAAGUAUCAUACCGUAAGACUUUACUAGACCUAUUUUGGUAUGACGAGAUUAAAAAAUCUAGGACUCUGAUAACAACUUUAUCACAAUCCAACAUGUCGUAAGAGGCACCAUACUAAACCCCUGGUGGGAGAAACAUUAUUUACUAGCAUUCAAAAUGUUGAACAAUAAAAAGGAAAUAGUUCUCAAAAAUUUUAAACAAGUUUCAUAAUAUAAAAUUCAUUAUCACCAAACAUUUACGGAAGAAAUCCUCCAAAAAAUUGAAAGUCGUUUGUCAAAACAUAUAUGUUGUCUAGAGUAUGGGAUGCAACCCCAAAACAUAAAUAGUCUAAGUCCAAAAAAUGGAUCAGAGGGGAAAAUAAUAAUCCAUAGCGGCUUGAAAAAAGUAGCCUGCAAUUUGGAUUCAAGAAGUGCAAGAGUCAUAAUUGUGGUCAUGAAGCAACCAUCGAAAUAUGUCUUUUAUUUAACAAAGAAAGAGCAAGUACAAUAUCAAUACACAAAAUCCACAUUGAGCUAGUAAAAUCAUUGGCCAACUCUAGUUAGACUAAAUAUGAUCAAGUAGCCACAACUUAGUGAAAUAGAAAACACACGUAAUAACAUGAUCGACAACAUUACAAAAAGCCAAUUCGGUUCACUCAUGGAACCCACAUACACAACAAUUAAUGUACCAAGUGUUGUACCCUAUCAACCAUUAAUAAUAUUUAACGGCGUGUUACCCAAAUCAAUUAUACAAAUAUCUCGUACUAGUCAAGGUACCCAAACUAAUAAAAAAUAUACCACGUGGUACCCGAGCCAACCAAAAGAUAUCAUGAAUCAGACGUGUUACUCAAAUCAACUGUUAGUAUGUACCAUGCAUGGUACUUGCGCCAACUAGCAAUCACACAUUACAAUGAAUAAAAAUCACACUUGUCAUACAUUAUAUAGAUAAUACUGACGGAGCAGUUAACAUGCACAUAUAACAUAAACUAAAAAUAAACAACCAUCACCUACCUCAAAUGAAGCCCAAAAUGCUCUAUUAAACCUGAACUUUUUCCUUGUUAUGAUGCCUAACUAGUUCAUGAUCUAAAAAUAAUAAAUAUAACACAUAAUCAGAUCUAAAUUACCUAGAAACACCUGAAUUAUAUCAUAAUUCAAACCCCGGGCCAUUCUAUGAUUAUCCCACCCAAAUAAGGGUUUUCCACCAUUAAAUUAAAUGAACCCCCCCUCCCCCCUAAGAUCACAAACACAGAUUCUAAGAUUCUAAGACUCUAGAAUCAAAUUACUAAGUUAAGGGAGUAAUUUACUUACCUUUACGGAUGAUUACGAUGGAAAAUAGAUGAAAUUCGCUGAAGUCGCUUCUUCUCUUCCCCAAAACAUAAUUGUCAAAUAAUGAGUAGUUUUGGUAGGGGUGUGCAUUGAUUGGUUCGGUUUUAUGUAUUAUCAGUUUGAUUUAUCGAUUUUAGGUUUUUAAAUAAGCUAAACCAAUAACAAACCAAUAAGGUAUUCUUUAUUGGUGUUUGGUUUAUCGAUUUUUUGUCAUUAACGGUUCGAUUUUUAGUUUACCCAAUAAGAAAAUGCUCAUAAAAUAAAUAUAUAAUUUCUCACUUCUCUAACAAUUUAGCACGAUACAGUGAGACAAGAAAAUCUGUUGUAAAUGCUUUGAUAUAGUGAAACAACAAAUAUAAUGAGAAAUUGCUUCAAUAAGAGUAGAUGUAGUAUGAAGGCUACAAUAAUAUGUUACAACCAAAACAUAAUAUGGAAUUUCUGAUGUGAACUAGAAGUACUAUGACGUGUGAAGUGUGUAGGUUGUAGUGUUAAGUACUAAUAUAGUGUCAAGUUAUUUUAAAUUAUUAAUAUUUAAUAUUUUAUGAAGGGCUUAACAGUAACUUACUAUAUUCUAAAUGGGUUAACUAUUGGUUUACCCAAUAACCCAAUACUAAAAAUCGAUACCAAACCUAUAACCCAAUAUUUUUUUAUUUAUAUAAAAUCAUUAAAAACCCAUUAAUCCAAUAGCCCAAUAACAAUGACCCAAUAACAUUUUUUUCGAUUCGUUUUACUGGUCAAUACAAUUUUCGCACACCCCUAAUUUUAAGAGAUUUUUGUACAUUAACUGUGACUAACCCCACUAUAGAGGUCUAAUUCAGCUAUAGUGACAGUGCUGCAGUGGGCUCUCAUGCUAUAACAUGAAUAAAAUCCACCGUUAAAGCAGCAUGUCACCCGCUAUAGAGGCUUGCAUGAGAUAGAAACUCAAAAAACCUCUAAAAUAGUCUAUUUCGUAACACACCUUCAAACCUUGACGUUUCAAACCAAUCCUUUCACACCAAGUUUGAUAUUGGGAGUUCUAUCCCCCGAAUUCACUUCCGAAAAGUUCUACGAACUUCUUAACGUCUUAGAACCAAGAAAAUUAGACUUUACCUAGACAUUUCCUCCAAUAUUUUCCCCAAAUUUUCCUAGACCUUGCCACACUCAAAUUUUGUCCAUGCUUAGCCUAACCUGAAAUUUUAACUCACUACUCCAAAAGUUUCUCACUCAUUUUCCUUCACUAUCAGCUCGCGAUAACGACGAGGGAAGUCGCUACAAUAACUAAAUUAGAAUUUGAAAUUUGACACACGGAUAUAUGUGAUCAAUCAUAAGUGAACUUUUUAAAAUUAGAAAAAAAAGUUUGAGUUAGUUUGAGGGGUAUAGUUGCGCAAACAAAAUAGGUUGAAAAUAUUUAUAGACCAAUGGAGGAAUGCAGAAUAUCUAUGAUGAUUUCUAUAUGUUAAGGAUAUUUUUGUCUUCUUUUUCCUUGAUUUAAUGAUAAAUCUUAUCUAUAUUUAUAAUAAUGGCAGAUCCACGUGAGAAUCAAUGGUGAUCAAAGCACCAUUGACUGUGACGUGGAUUCUCUGAUUUGUAUAGACAAUUAGUAAGUCCUACACUAUAAUUAACAAAAAGAUCAAAGUAUGACAAGUUUUUUUCUGAAGAAAAUUAUCAAAGAUAAAGAGUUGAUAAUAUAUAUUCAAUGUAUCGGUAAUGUUUUAUUUUGGUCCUUAAUAUAUUUUACGUGAUUGAAAUAGUCCAUGGUCCAUAGUAUAUAAAAACGAUGUUCAUUUUGGCCCUUCAUAUGUUUCAUUUGAUUGAAAUGAUCUUUAAUGUAUAACUAAAUGUAUUCAUUUUGGUCCUUGAACUUAAACCUAACAUAUUUAUCAAAAAAAUAAUGUCAAAUUUAACUAUGACCCUACGUGGCUAACAAAAUUCACCAUUGUUGUCUUCUUUGUUAGCUCCAAAGAAAGAUCAACUCCAUAAAAUCUAACACUAUUAUCUCUACUUUCUCUAACAAAAUUUAAUUUUCUAUUGCUUACAAUAUUUUUGCGCUAAGCAUAUAAUUUUUUGAAUCUUGAAGUACAUUUUAUUGGAGAAAGUUGAGAAAAUUGUUUUAGAUUUGAUUGAAUUCGUUCUUUGGAUUUAACAAAUUAAGAAGACAACAAUGGUAAUUGGUAAAUUUUGUGAGAAUCAUAUAGUUAAAUUUAACAUUUUUUUGGAUAAAUUUGUUAGUUUAGGGUAAAAAAUUAAAAUAAACACCUUUUGUUAUACGUUAAAGAUCAAUUCAAUCAAGUUUAUACUAAAUUUUAAUAUACGUGAUAACUUUUAUAUAAAUUGUAUGUGGGUGAGAUUGACGUUGAUGAUAAGACUAGUGACUGAGCUAAAAAAAUAAUUAAGGUAGUGCUAAUAUUCUGUGAAGGACUAAUGUAAGAGGUAACAUAUGAUUAAGGAGAAGUCAAAUGUGAUAUAAUUGUAUUGUUGUUUUCGUUGAUUUUGUGAUAUUAUACGUGGAUUUAAUCUAGGUUGGUUUAUGAUGACUACUCAAUACGUGUGGUGUACUUAUACUAAUAUACCCUUUGGUGGUGUAGUAGGUUUGUUUUAGGUUGAUUGAAGCGUGAGAUGACAGUUAUAUAUUCAUCAACUUCUACAUACUUUGUCCUCAAGUAAGAGUUGGGUCGAUCUCUUGUGUAUUUUAUUUAUUUUUAGCCCGUACUUUAUUAAAAACUCUUGUACCGAUCUAGACUAGGUCCUUGGAAGUUGUUAAGAUUUUGUAAUGUUGAGUGAUUUAUACUUAUUGUUUUGUUUUGUCAACCCACAUUCAACUCUUUAAAGAAAAUUUUCAGUUUAAUUAAGAAUGUAUGGUAAGAAUUUGCCUAUCUAUCUAUCUAUCUAACUAUCUGUCUGUCUGUCUGUCUAUCUAUACUACCUUAAAAGCAUGAACUUCCAAAGUUGAAUGUUGAAUUACUAUAAUACCCUCAAUUAAAAAUACUCAAUUUAUUUUAUUUAGUUUAAUUAUUUGUAUUAUAUUAAAAAUAGAUGUCUUUUCACAUUAAAGGGUUGUGAUUUUUUCAAAGAGUUGUGACUUUUUCAAAAGGUUACGACUUUUUUGAUGGGUUGUGACAUUUUUGAUGAGUUGUGACUUUCCGAAGGGUUGUGAUUUUUCCAAAGGGUUGUGACUUUUCCAAAGGUUGUGCCUUUCUCAAUGAGUUGUGACUUUUCCAAAGGGUUAUGACUUUUUCGAUGAGCAGUGAUUUUUUUGAAAGGUUGUAACUUUUCUGAUAAGGCACAAUUAGCACCUAGUCAUACUACUAUUUGUUAGCUAUAAAUAGAGGAGUUUCCUCUCACUUUUAAACUACAAUUUUUUUUAAGUUUUGUAUUCUUCUUCUUCUUAAAAAAUCUCAAGGGUUAUUUGCAACAGUUGAUUAAGUUUAAAAUUCAAUGAAAUUCGAGGUAUCACAUAAGAAAGAAUUGGUGAACAAAUUAUAGCAAAUCAUUCAACAAUUCACACUCAUAGUUUUUCUUACGAUUUUCAUGAGCUAACAAUGACGAAAAGUUGUGGGAAAGACAAUAAUAAUAAACAAAUAUGAAAAAAUCAAAUGAUUUGGGUAUGAUAUUUCUUCUUUAUUUUUUAAUUUUUUAUUCUCUUACCCUCAUGAAGGAGUUUCUUUCUAAUUUUGGUAAAACAACGGGCAUCAACAUAGUCCAUUGAAUUAUUAGUUUGGAUAUAAAAUCCACUAUUUCAAAAAUAGAUUUUAGCUUUUUCUUAUAAUAUCAUUUCGAUCAAAUGGAAAAAUUACCUCUAUAUAUAUGAUAGUCUUACUCAAGUAUUAAUUGAGUAAUAAUAUUUUGUAAAGGAUAGAUUGCGUAUAAAGAUAAAAUAUCUAAAUAUAUAUGGUAAUCCUUAUUAGUGUCAUGCACAUACUACAUUUCAAGUAUGAAUAUUUAAGAGAAAAAAUGUACUUAAAUGGUGUCCAUCAUUUAUGUUCAUAACCUCAUGAGGAAAGGCUAUUGGUGACAUUUUUUUUAAAAAAUUUGUUGGUUAGAUUUGCUUACAAAAUUGAGUGAAGUAAAAAUACUAGUAAAGAAAUGUCACUUUCUCCCCUUAUUUAAACAUUGAAUGUAUUUUGAAAUGCUUCAAUGAUAUCUAGUCAUUUUGUUUUCAAAAUACAAGUAACUGAUCUAUAAUAAUUUGUAUUAAUUACUUAAAAAAACUUGUCCUAUGUUCUUUCAAUUAUAAUUAUUUAAUAAAAAACUUUAAUUUAAUAAUAUUAAUUCUAUUUUACAACAUUAUAUACUAUAUAUACAAUACACACGUGCAACGCACGUGUGAAAUUAGUCUAAUUAAAAAUAGACUAGAUUGUAUGAUCACAUAAUUUAAAUUGUGACAAAGUGUAGGUGGAUUCUCCGAUUUGUAUAGACAAUUCGUAAGUACAAUACUCUAUAGUUAACAAAAAAAAAAUGAAAGAUUCGCAAGUUGUUUCAAAAUAAUUAUUAAAAAUAAAAAUUUUAGGAUAAAAGAUUUGAUAAUAUCCACCACCUUGUGAAAUAGAUCCUACUAAGCCAAAUCCCAGAUAAACAAAAAAAUUAAUGAAGUAAUUUUCCAUUAUAUGACUAAUUAAUUCACAACAGAUUUUCUCUAACCAAAAGUCAAAGAAAAUUAAAAGUGAACAUCCCAAAUAAAAAAUCAAAAGUUCCAUUUUUUCCAACAACAAAAAUUCCAUGAUUGAUCAAGGUUUUCUAUUAUUUGAUAAAAACAAAUAUCAAAAUUGAAAAUUUUUAAUAUUUAAAAUAAAUAUAAAUUACUUGAAUUAAUUCCUUAAGUACAUCAACUAACGACACUUAUUGAGUAGUGAUCUGAAUUCAUUUCAAUAGUCCAUAAAAUGAGUAGAUAAAAUCAAUAGAAAAUAAAAAGGAAAAAAACAAUGAAUGAAUUAGAAGGUAAUAGAAAGUUAAGAUACAAGGCAAAAACAAUAUGCGUACAAAAUUGAUUUAAAUACAAGAUAAAGAAAAUAAGAAUAUUUUUUAAAAAAGUUUAUCAAAAAAUUAUUUUUUAACAAAAAGUAAGAAAAAUAAUAAAAAAAAUAUAUUUACACACGUGGCAGGUUAAGUGUACAAACACAACCAACUUUGGUGGUUGAAGGUACCAUGUCAACACAAAAAUUAGGGGUGUACAAAAUCGAACCGAAAACCGAACCAAACCGCAAAUCGAGAAAAAAACCCGACUAGUGUUUGGUAUUGAAAAAAAAAACCUGACUAUAUUUGGGUUGGUUUGGUUUUAACUAAAAAAAACCAACCCGAGACCAAACCAACCCGACAUUAUAUAUAUAAUUUUAAAAUUUUAUUUUAUACAUAAAAAUAUUUACUUUGAUAUAAUUUUUAUAUAUUUCUUAUACUUUUCAUAGUUUUUAUCUUUUCAUAUAUUAUUUCAAGUUUGAAACUUAGAAUUCCGAAUGGUUCAAUAAAGAUUAUAGUCCACAGAUGUUGGUGAUUAUAAUAAAGCUUAAAUCAAAAUCAAAUUAAAACUAAUGCAAAAAUAAAAUCAAUUCAACCCCAAGAAUGACAAUAAUAUUGAAUAUUUGUUCUUUGAUUUUACAUUGGUUUAGAAAAUUCCAAUACAUAAUCUAAUUUUAAUUUCCUUUAAUAUUUAGUCAUGUAACUAAUAGGGAAAAUGCAUGAGUACCCUCCAACCUAUGUCCGAAAUCCCAAAGACACACUUAUACUAUACUAAGGUCCUAUUACCCCCCCGAACUUAUUUUAUAAAUAAUUUUCUACCCCUUUUGGCCUACGUGGCACUAUCAAUGAAAAAAUUGUCAACACGUGCUGGGCCCAGAAGAUUGUGCCACGUAGGCGGAAAAGGGGUAGAAAAUUAUUUAUAAAAUAAGUUCGGGGGGGUAAUAGGACCUUAGUAUAGUAUAAGUGUGUCUCUGAGAUUUCAGGCAUAGGUUGAGGGGGGUACUUAUGCAUUUUCCUAACUAAUACUUAUUAAACUUAUUUUAGCAUGAUUUAGUACUUUUAAAUUAUGAUCAUUUUCAUUAUGACUUGUUAAUUUGCAAUAUUUGUUUUACGCGAUUUCAUUAUUAUUAUUAUUAUUAUUUUUUUGUUGGAUAUUUUAGUGUCAUUACUCAUAUCAUAUUCUGUGUUAUUUUCUUAAGAAACACCUUAGAUAGUUGUAUUUUGAUAGGACUAAAGAAAUAUUUGAAGUAAAAGUAAAUUAUAUGUUUGUAUGAAUACUUUAUCGGAAAAACCCGAAAAAACCCGAGUUUAAUUGGUUUGGUUUAUAGAUUUAAAAAUCCGACACAAAUGGUUUGGUUUGAUAUUUGAAAAGCCCGAACCAACCCGACCAUGUACACCCCUAACAAAAAUAUGAAAAAAAUGAGUUCAGAGAAGGGAGGAGGGGGGGAGGGGGAUAGGACCCUAGUUAAGUUUAGGUGUAUCUCUAAGACUUCGGUCAUAAUCUAGGGGAGUACUUGUGUCAUAUCCAAAACUAAAGAGAAAAUUACCCAUUAGCUUUAUACCAUCAACAUUCAAUGUACUUGGCAUGCCUAACCACGCUAUCUUGCUAUGCCACUGCAACAUUCCAUGCAAAUAUUCCGUCAAUGACAUCUCCAUCUUUAGAAGAAAAUGUAGUUGUCAAAACAAUUGAAAUGGUAUUAAGCAGAUGAACAAAAAUUUUUUUUAACUAAAAAUGAAAAAUAACACCAUUUUCAAGGUUAAACGCCUACUCUAACACUUAGACGUAAGUUGUUGUACAAUAUCCACCUUAUGCAAUCUCUCGUAGCGAUUCAAAAACUCAAAAGCACCCUCAUUUUCAGUACCAUGAAACUAUGAAGGCUUCACCUACAAAAACAUAGUCAACAACUCAUGCUUAGUCUCGGUCAUAGCUGUUGGGUUUAUUUGCCCUGAUUUCUUACCAUAAAUAAGUUUUCCUUUUAGGAAAAUGUUUUAAUAUUUUGACUAGUCAUUUUCUUGUAGGAAGGGUUUUAGGACUCUAUAAAUACAGGCUUGUUCCUUCUAACUUAAUUAGCAUUCACAAUGUAGUCCUAGGGCUUUGAGAGUUGCGGUUAUGGAGGAGAAUUUUGUGGACCUCUUUGUAUUCCCAUUGAAUUGGUUGAGGUUGUUUCUCUCUAUAUUUUGUACUCUCAUAUUUAUAGUGGAUUGCUCAUCUCCUUUGUGGACGUAGGUCGAUUGACCGAACCACGUUAAAUCUGUCUCUUUUGGUGUGUUUCUCGUUUGUCUUCUUACUCGUGGUCUUUCGAGGUUUGUUUUGCUAGGUUCCGCAUUACACUUGAUUAUUUUCCAUCCUAACAAGUGGUAUCAGAGCCAUGGUUCAAUGAUGGAGUCAUGUUAGAGAUGGGUGUUCAUCUUGGCAAGUGUAGUUCUAGUCGCAAUCUUUUUAAUAGUAAUGAAGAUUUUGUUGGAGAAAUUGUUUCAGAGAGGUUCUCUGUGUCGAGGCGUAGAUUUGAUGGAGGAGAUUAUGGAGAAAAGAUGCAAGAUCCUAAAGAUUAUGUGAAGAAGGUGGACAAAUUUAUUUUGUCAGAAAUUCAGGCCAAGGGGAAGAUUUGUUGAGGUUUAUAGUCCUUUUCUUAUAGGAAAGGUUUUAGGACUCUAUAAAUAUAUGCAUGUUCCUUCUAACUUAAUCAGCAUUCACAAUGUAGUCCUAAGUUUUUUAGAGUUACGGUUAUGGAGGAGAAUUUUGUGUACCUCCUUGUAUUCCCAUUUAAUUGGUUGAAGUUGUUUCUCUCUAUAUUUUGUACUCUCAUAUUUAUAGUGGAUUGCUCAUCUCUUUUGUGGAUGUAGGUCGAUUGACCGAACAACAUUAAAUCUGUCUCUUUUGGUGUGUUUCUCGUUUGUCUUCUUACUCGUGGUCUUUCGAGGUUUGUUUUGCUAGGUUCCGCAUUACACUUGAUUAUUUUCCAUCCUAACAAGUGGUAUCAGAGCCAUGGGUGGAACCAUGUUAGAGAUGGGUGUUCAUCUUGGCGGGUGUAGUUCUAGUCGCAAUCUUUUUAACAGUAAUGAAGAUUUUGUGGGAGAAACUGUUUCAGAGAGGUUCUCUGUGUCGAGACGUAGAUUUGAUGGAGGAGAUUAUGGAGAAAAGAAGCAAGAUCCUAAAGAUUAUGUGAAGAAGGUGGACAAAUUUAUUUUGUCAGAAAUUCAGGCCAAGGGGGAGAUUUGUUGGGGUUUAUUUGCCCUGAUUUCUUACCAUAAAUAAGUUUUCCUUUUAGGAAAAGGUUUUAAUAUUUUGACUAGUCAUUUUCUCGUAGGAAACGUUUUAGGACUCUAUAAAUAUAGGCUUGUUCCUUCUAACUUAAUUAGCAUUCACAAUGUAGUCCUAGGGUUUUGAGAGUUGCGGUUAUGGAGGAGAAUUUUGUGUACCUCCUUGUAUUCCGAAUGAAUUGGUUGAGGUUGUUUCUCUCUAUAUUUUGUACUCUCAUAUUUAUAGUGAAUUUCUCAUCUCCUUUGUGGACGUAGGUCGAUUGAUCGAACCACGUUAAAUUUGUGUCUUUUGGUGUGUUUCUCGUUUGUGGUCUUUCAAGGCUUGCUUUGCUAGCUUCUGCAUUACACCUGCAUGCCUAUUUCGGUCCUAACAAUAGCAGGGCCUAGUAUGAGAUGGAAGAACGCAUCAAUACCCGAAGCUUCAUCCAUUCUGGCAGCGGUGCUAGUAGCAGAGUGAGUGUCUGAAGCCUGAGUAGCCGACACAAUAUGAGUGGCUCCAGUAACUCCAAUCUCACUCAGGAUGGUUAACACUUGUUGAAUAACCUCAAAAGUCAUAGGGGAAAGGUCUACACCUUAACAUGUGUCGCCAUCUCGGGUUCAACACCCUUCUUAAACGUUACCUCCACAUCAUCCUCAAUAUGAACAUGGGUAAGGAAGGGGGAUGGGUCGCUGGUCUCGGCCGAGCAGUUGCCCAAGCUCCACCCUCGGUAGGUGUUGCUCUAUAUCUCGUCUUGCCCCUUCAUAUGCCUUUGCCCCUUCCUCACCCUCGCAUUGUUGGUUCUGCAACUGGAGCUGGUGCUCUCACUCUGUUUCAUCUGGUGUCAACCAUCUAAGGAGUAAAGAAUUAAAAAAGUCAAAUAUCAAUUGGAAUCAAGUUAUAACAUUAAGAAAGAAAAGAAGAGAGAAAUAUCCUAAAGUCUAAUAGCAUGAAAAAAAGUACAGAAGUCUAAGUACCAUUUCGUAAGACUUUACUAGACCUAUUUUAUGGUAUGACGAGAUCAUAAAACUUAGUGCUCUAAUACUAAUUUUGUCAUAAUCCAACCUGUCGUAAGAGGAACUCAAACUAAACCCUGGUGGGAGAAACAUUAUUUACUAGCAUGCAAAAUGUUGAACAAUUAAAAGGAAAUAGUUCUCAAAGAUUUCAAACAAGUUUCAUAAUAUAAAAUUCAUUAUCACCAAACAUUUGCGGAAGAAAUCCGCCUAAAAAUUGAAAGUCAUGGGUCAAAACAUAUAUGUUGUCUAGAGUAUGAGGAUGCAACCGCAAAACAUAAAUAGUCUAAGUCCAAAAAAUGGAUCAGAGGGGAAAAGAGUAAUCCAUAGAGGCUUGAAAAAAAUAGCUCGCAAUUUGGAUUCAAGAAGUGCAAGAGCCAUAAUUGAGGUCACGAAGCAACCAUCAAAAUAUGUCUUUUAUUUAACAAAGAAAGAGCAAGUACAAUAUUAGUAUACAAAAUACACAUUGUACUGGUAAAAUCAUUGCCAACUCUAGUUAUACUAAAUAUGAACAAGUAACCACAACUUAGUGAAAUAGAUAACAUACGUAUUAACAUGAUCAACAACAUUACAACAAGCCAAUUCGGUUCAGUCAUGGAACCCACAUACACAACAAUUAAUGCACUAAGUGUGGUACCCCUGUCAACCAUUAGUAAUUUUUUACUAGCGUGAUACCCAAAUCAAUCAUAUAAAUAUCUCCUACUAAUCAAGGUACCCAAGCUGAUAAAAAAUAUACCACGUGGUACCCGAGACAACCAAAAGAUAUCAUGAAUUAGACGUGUUACUCAAAUCAACUAUUAGUAUGUACCAUGCAUGGCACCAACGCCAACGAACAAUCACAUAUUACAACGAAUAAAAAUCACACUUGCCAUACAUUCUAUAGAUCAUAUUGACGAAGCAGUUAACAUGCACAUAUGACAUAAACUAAAAAUAAACAACCAUCACCUACCUUGAAUCAAGCCCAAAAUGCUCUGUUGAAGCUAAACUAUUUCCUUGUUACGAUGCCUAACUAGUUCUUGAUCUAAAAAUAAUAAAGAUAACACAUAAUCAGAUCCAAAUGACCUAGAAACACCUGAAUUAUAUCAUAAUCCCAACCUCAGGUUAUUCUAUGAUUAUCCCACCCAAAUAAGGGUUUUCCACCAUAAAAUUAAAUGAAUCCCCCCCCCCUCCGAGAUAACAAACAUAGAUUCCAAGGGCUCUAAAAUCGAAUUACUAAGUUAAGGAGUAAUUUACUUACCUUUACAAAUGAAUACGAUGGAAAAUAGAUGAAAGUCGCCCAAGUCGCUUCUACUCUUCCCCAAAACAUAGCCAACCAAAAGAUAUCAUGAAUCAGACGUGUUACUCAAAUCAACUAUUAGUAUGUACCAUGCAUGGUACCAACGCCAACUAGCAAUCACAUAUUACAACGAAUAAAAAUCACACUUGUCAUACAUUUUAUAGAUAAUAUUAACGAAGCAGUUAACAUGCACAUAUGACAUAAACUAAAAAUAAACAACAAUCACCUACCUCGAAUCAAGCCCAUAAUGCUCUGUUGAAGCUAAACCUUUUCCUUGUUAUGAUGCCUAACUAGUUCUUGAUCUAAAAAUAAUAAAUAUAACACAUAAUCAGAUCCAAAUGACCUAGAAACACUUGAAUUAUAUCAUAAUCCCAACCCCGGGCCAUUCUAUGAUUAUCCCACCCAAAUAAGGGUUUUCCAUCAUACUCCCCCCCCCCCCGAGAUAACAAACACAGAUUCUAAGGCUCUAAAAUUGAAUUACUAGGUUAAGGGAGUAACUUACUUACCUUUACAAAUGAAUACGAUGGAAAAUAGAUGAAAUUCGCCCAAGUCGCUUCUGCUCUUCCCCAAAACAUAAGUGCCAAAUAAUGAGCAGAUUUGGGUGGGGGUGUGCAUAGGUCGAUUAGGUUUUAUGUAUUAUCAGUUUGAUUUAUCGAUUUUCAGUUUUAAAAUAUGCUAAACCAAUAACAAACUAAUAAGAUAUAUUCAAUGUAUCGAUAAUGUUUUAUUUUGGUCCUUAGUAUAUUUUACAUGAUUGAAAUGGUCCAUGGUCCAUAGUAUAUAAAAGAGAUGUUCAUUUUGGUCCUUCAUAUGUUUCAUUUGAUUGAAAUGAUCUUUAAUGGAUAACAAAAUGUGUUUAUUUUGGUCCUUUAACCUAAACCUAACAUAUUUAUCCAUAAAAUAGUGUCAAAUUUAACUAUGACCCUACGUGGCUAACAAAAUUCACCAUUGUUGUCUUCUUUGUUAGCUCCAUAGAAAGAACUCCAUAAAAUCUAACAGUACUAUGAUCUCUACUUUCUCUAACAAAAUUUAAUUUUCUAUUCCUUACAAUAUUUUUGUGCUAAGCAUAUAAUUUUUUGAAUCUUGAAGUAAAUUUUGUUGGAGAAAGUUGAGAAAAUGGUGUUAGAUUUAAUGAAGUUCUUUCUUUGGAUUUAACAAAUUAAGAAGACAACAAUGGUAAAUUUUGUGAGAUUCAUAUAGUUAAAUUUAAUAUUUUUUGGAUAAAUUUAUUAGUUUAGGAUUAAAAAAAUCAAAAUAAAUACCUUUUGUUAUACGUUAAAGAUCAAUUCAAAUCAAGUUUAUAAUAAAUUUUAAUGUACGUGAUAACUUUUGUAUAAAUUGUAUGUGGGUGAGAUUGACGUUGAUUAUAAGACUAGUGACUGAGCUAAAAAAGUAAUUAAGGUAGUGUUAAUAUUCUGUGAAGGACUAAUGUAAGAAGUAACGUAUGAUUAAGGAGAAGUCAAAUGUGAUAUAAUAGUAUUGUUGUAUUUAAUCUAGGUUGGUUUAUGAUGUCUACUCAAUAUCAAUACGUGUGGUGUACUUAUACUACCUUUUGAUGGUGUAGGUAGGUUUGUUUUAGGUUGAUUGAAACGUGAGAUGACAGUUAUUCAUCAACCUUCUACAUACUUUGUCCUCAAGUAAGAGUUGGGUUGAUCUUUUGUGUAUUUUGUUUAUCUUAUGCCCGUACUUUAUUAAAAACUCUUGUACCAAUCUCGACUAGGUCCUUGGAAGUUGUUAAGAUUUUGUAAUGUUGAGUGAUUUUUUCUUAUUGUUGUGUUUUGUCAACCAAAUUCAACUCUUUAAAGAAAAUUUUCAAGUUAAUUAAAAAUGUAUGGUAAGAAUUCGCCUAUUUAAUUAAAAAUAGAGCAGGUUUUCAUAUGAUCCGGUAAUUUAAAUUUUGACAAAGUGUAGGUGGAUUCUCCGAUUUGUAUAGACAAUUCGUAAGUACAAUACUCCAUAAUUAACAAAAAAAAAAUGAAAUUUUCGCAAGUUAUUUCAAAAUAAUUAUUAGAAAUAAAAAGUUUAAGAUAAAAGAUUUGAUAAUAUCCACCACCUUGUGAAAUAGAUCCUACUAAGACAAAUCCCAGAAAAAACAAAAAAAUUAAUGAAGUAAUUUUCCAUUAUAUGACUGGAAUUAAUUCACAACAGAUUUUCUCUAACCAAAAGUCAAAGAAAAUUAAAAGUGAACAUCCCAAAUAAAAAAAAUCAAAAGUUCCAUUUUUUUCAACAACAAAAAUUCCAUUUUUCGUAGUGCAAAAAUCGGAUCUAGACAUGUACUAUGAUUGAUCAAGGUUUUCUAUUAUUUGAUAACCAGAAAUAUCAAAAUUGGAGAUUUUUAAUAUUUAAAAUAAAUAUAAAUUACUUGAAUUAACUCCUUAAGUACAUCAAUUAACGACACUUAUUGAGUAGUGAUCUGAAUUCAUUCCAAUAGUCCAUAAAAAGAAUUAAUAAAAUCAAUAGAAAAUAAAAAGAGAAAAAACAAUGAAUGAAGGUAAAAGAAAGUUAAGAUACAAGGCAAAAACAAUAUGCGUAUUAAAUUGUUUUAAAUACAAUAUAAAUAAAAUAAGAAUAUUUUUUUAAAAAGUUUAUUUUUUUAACAAAAAGUAAGAAAAAUAAUUUUAAAAAAAUAUUUACACACGUGGCAGGUGGAGUGUACAAACACAACCAAUUUGGUAGUUGAAGGUACCAUGUCAGCACAAAAAUACGAAAAAAUUGAGUUCGGAGGAGGGGGGGGGGGGCGGGGCUGGGGGGGGGGUNNNNNGGACGGGACGGAGAGGGGGAUAGGACCCUAGUUAAGUUUAGGUGUAUCUCUAAGAUUUCGGUCAUAGUCUAGGGGAGUACUUGUCCCAUAUCCCAAAACUAAAGAGAAAAUUACCCAUUAGCAUUAUACCAUCAACAUUCAAUGUACUUGGCAUGCGUAACAACGCUAUCUUGCUAUGCCACUGCACCAUUCCAUGCAAAUGUUCUGUCAAUGAUGUCAUGAUCCGAGUCUACACUUUGGACGUGGCCGACAUUAAAGAACCAUUACUGGUCCCCAAGCGAACCCUCAUCAUGGUUGACUAUAAGCCGAAUACUAACUUAAUCAUACAAAAUCUUAAAACUGAAUAAAAUUCACUAAACUCAACUUUUCAAAACUUUAACUCAAAUGAACAACUUAGAAUAAAAAUAAUAUAGUCAACUCACCAUAAAAUAGGCAACUUAAGUCUUAAAAAUAUUUAAUAAAAUAAAUGAAUAAUACAAACUUCUCAACUAUACUGACUAUCUAUAAAGCCUCUAACUAAUAAAGACAAAAGUCGGGAAAAGACCCACGACAUCCUGACUAAACUGAAAAGUAAAUGAAAUACUCCAGAAAUAAGAGAGGCUCACCAUAGAUAACUAAAACUCUCGAAUGUAUCAAAGAAUCUCCUAUUGAUGAUCCCGAAUACCUGUGUCUACAACAUGAAAAGAUGCAGGCCAAAUGGCUCAGUACGUAGAAUGUACGAGCAUGUAAGAGNNNNNNNNNNNNNNNNNNNNNNNNUUGAAACUUGAUAAAAAGGAAACAUACUUACGUUUUCUCAAACUUACUCAACUCAAGGAAUACUCAAAACUACUCAACUUACUCAACUUAGAAGUACUCAAGGAUAAGAUACUCAACUCAAAGAUAUGAUAUUCGACGCUGGGUACUCAACUCUGGAUACUCAACUUAAUAUAAAACAACAAUACACAUGCAAUAUAUGGAAACUUUAUAAAACAGUAAAAACAACUUAGUUCUUCAAAGAAAAUGCAAUAACAAACUCAAAUUUACUUAUAUAAUAAAGUAAUAUACUUUUUGUGGGAAUUUUUCUAACCUACAACCACCACUAUUAGCCUAAGUGGUGAUACACCUUCUUGGCCACGCUGCUAGAACUGUCCUACACUUUGCCUUCAUAUAGAACGCUUAACUUAGUGGAUCCAAUAGCUUAUGCUAAGAGCAUCUUAAGGAGUCAUCUAAAAAGUAUGAUCAUUUACUACUCAUGAUGGUAACUUAUGGUAAAAGAAUAUUAAGGAGUCAUCUAAAAAGUAUGUUCCUUUACUACCCAUGAUGGCUACAUGGUUUAUGGAGAUGUGAGUUAUCUGAACUCAAAUUCGCCCCAUAUCGGUGCUUGAUACUACUCCCAAAAUAUACUUAGCUCAUCUGUUUUUAAAACAACUUCUUCUCUGAUUGGAGAUAAUUACUAAAACUUAGCUUAAAAGCUCUCUUGGAAAUUUCUGUUUCCUUUCUUGCUCAAAUGUGAAAACAUUUAUAAACUCUUUGGGAAUACUUAGUUCCCAUAUAUCAUUUUAAAGAAAAUGAACUUUACUCUUAGUCUUUACUCAAUUUCAAAUCUUAAGUCUUAAAACAAAGUUUAAAUAUUUGUAAAAGACUUCUUAAAAUAUGGUGCACGCCGAAUUAUGGACUUGAACGACUCAAUGCAAGGUUUUCAAUAACCAUAGAUAGAACUCAAAUACUUGGAACUCAAGAACUUCAAUGAUACUACUAAUUUCAAGAAUGCUCAAAUCAGAGAGUUCAUGCGGAAUUAUGAGCAUGAACUACUCAAAUCAAGGACUCAAAGAUACUUCUCAUCUCAAGAUUUGCUCAACUUAUAAUGUUCAUGCGGAAUUAUGGGCAUGAACAACUCAACUCAUGGACUUCAUGGGUAAUAGGUAAUAGUCCCAUGAUUAGGAUUAUAAUCUCGGAAGGGUUUGGAACUCGAUACUCAAGACUUAGAACUUGAAGAUACUAAUCCUUUCAAAAAUACUAAACUGAUGGAGUUUAUGCGGAAGUUAUGGGCAUGAACGACUUGACUCAAGGGUCAAAGUAUCAAUAAGGAACUCAGGUAUACGACUCUUCUCAUUCUCAUACUUACUUCUCAAAACUUAACUCAAAUCUAUGGUGGAUAUCAAAAGAUUCACAAUUGAACUCAAAGACUUUCUUGAACUCUACUCUUAACUCUCUCUUGAAUGUGAAUUACGAAUUCAAGAGUUAUGGUUCAUGAUACGAAGGAUAUAGGUGAUAGUGUAAACUCAUGAAUACAUUCUCCUCAAUCUCAUGCAAACUUACUCGAGUCUUGAAACAAGUUAUUAGAAGUUGUAGAAGACUUCUCAAAGGACUCAAAGGGUCUUUCUCAAAAGUUAUGAAAGAACUCUCAAGACUUGACUCUCAACUCUACCUUGAAUGUGAUUUAUGAACUCAAACUUGUGAUUUGUGAUAGGAAUGAUCUCGUGAUGUUUAGGAGUGUUUUUAGAUAGUUAAACAUGAAAAACGAUCAAGAAAUCACUGUCUGGAAGUAAGUCCGCGACGCGGAAAUGAAUUAAAAUAUUUGGUCGCGAAUUAACUUUUGAGGCUGAGAAGUCCAUGACCUCUCCGCGAUGCGAAGACAAACUUUAUGGAAUGGGGAGGCAGGUCCGUGACGUGAAACAAGGUGCCAGAUUCGCCCGACUUUUUACUUCUUCGUUUUCUAACCCCAAUUCACCUAAACUCGGUUCUUUUU
This 72966-nucleotide long non-coding RNA is filed under the name Solanum tuberosum (potato). RNAcentral's name for it is "long non-coding RNA (STUB_LNC002760)". Lineage: Eukaryota; Viridiplantae; Streptophyta; Magnoliopsida; Solanales; Solanaceae. The record is from RNAcentral.